Molecule: long non-coding RNA, 56068 nt
Filed under: Solanum tuberosum (potato)
Lineage: Eukaryota; Viridiplantae; Streptophyta; Magnoliopsida; Solanales; Solanaceae
Description: long non-coding RNA (STUB_LNC007709)
Source: RNAcentral
AAAAGGUGACAUUGUUCAGUCGCAACCCGGCUCAUACUAUUAUGCCUAUCCGUCUUAUCAAUACCCAGUUUACCAAGUUACAGAUUCCUAUGGUGAACCCAAUUGUUCCAUUAUGUGAAUGCCAAUUUUCGAUUGCCUAUGGAAAACAGAGUGUAUAGUAUUGGAACAGAGGGAUUCAAUAUAAUUAACUGUAUUUACAGUCAAAUAUUUAUUAAUAUGUUAAUAAAUAUAUAGAAUUUGAACGAAAGCUAUUUGGUUCACAAUGAAGUGAAUCAUUGAAGUUUUUGGUCCCUGUCCAGAGCUUAAUGGACUAUCUAGUAGAUGAAGAGUUUUGGUUUUUUUUUCCCAUCUUUUUGGGUCUCUGUAAAUGCCUUCCAAAUAUUAAAAUAUAUUAUUUUUCGUAUAAUUGGAUGAUCUGAGUGAUUUUAUUUGUGUUGUCAAAUUCAUUUGAAUUUAAUAUUUUUAAUAUAGAGUAUCAAUUUAAUGUGUAAAAGUUUACUAGAACUGCAACAAAUAAUAAACUUUAGCUCAUUGCUUCAAAAAUAUAUAACGUUCAAUGAUGAUAACUUUAAAAGUUUACUACGUAAAAUUUAUAUUUUGAAUCCAAACUAAAUAAGACCACGAAAUUACAAUGCAGGGGUAUUAAUUUUCCUUAUACUAAGAUCAGAUUAGUACAAGCUGUUUAUUUUGGAUUAUUUAAUUUUCAUAUAUAAUCUACUUCGAGAAGCACAAUUAGUGUGUGAUUAAUUGUUUUUGUUGAUCAAAUGUUUUGAAAAGUGGAAUUUUUAGAAAAUUAAAGUAUUGUUUUGAAUGUGACUAUUUUAGCUAUGUUUGCUAAAAUAUACUCAAAGCAAUCGAAGAAAAUUUUUAUUAUGAGGAUCCAUUGACAAGUUGACAUGUGGAUUGUGGGGGGGAGGGGGGCACAAGUUGUCCUUUAAAGCUGCAACUAAAAUCAAAGAGGAGAGAGUGUAAAGUUUAAUUGGAAAUUGAAAAAAUAUUGUGGGGUUCGCGUCAAAUACAAUUAAAUAAACUAAAAUGAUGUAUUCAAAAUAGAAAAGUGCACAAUAAAAAAGUAAUGAAACGAACCAAAAGUUAUUUUAUACGUAUAUUGAAAUUUUCUGAUUAAAACUAUUUUAAUAAAAAUGUCAAUUAAUAUUUAUUUUAAUAAAAAUGUCAAAUAAGAUAUUAAUGCCCAGAUUGAAGUUUCAUUGAUUUACUAUUUCUAAAAAUAAAUAUAAAAUUCAACAUAUUUAGCAUAAACUUUGUACGAUUUAAUAAAAGUGUAAUAAGUAGAAAUUUGACUGUUCUGCUCCAAAUUAAAAUGAAAUUCGUACUAUAUAAUGUUGUUAUAUAUCUAACACCAUUUAGAUAAAAGAAAUACUCUAAUAAUAUGAUUGUUAUAUCAUAGGAUAGUUUUUAAAAUUUUCACUUUGUUACACAUUUCAAGUCUUUUCUCAGUCCAUAUAUCAAAUAUCCAUUUUUAAAAGUAACACGAGUUUGAAAAAAAAAAAUAUACAUAAAUCUUAUUUUAUCUUGUAAUAUAGAAUCAUUUUUAAAAGUAACACAAAUUUGAAGAGAUCAAAGUGUAUGUAAAUACUAUUUUAUCUUGUAACAUAGAAAUAAUGUUUUUUUUAUAUAAAUCCUUAAUUAAACAAGUUAAAUAAAUGUGUAUAAAACAUAAAAUAAAAAUAUAGGUCAGCUGAUAAUAUGACUUCUCAUUCCCUGCAUUACUAUUUUAAUGUGUAUUUUUCCAUUUUCAAUACAUCAUUGUAGUUUAUUUAAUUGUAUUUGAUAUGGACCCCACGAUUUUCUUUCCGUUUUCAAUUAAACUCUACACCCUCUCUCCUCUUUGGUUUUAAUUGCAGUUUUAAAGGACAAUCUAUCCCCCACAAUCCACAUGUCAACUAGUUAAUAGAAUUUCAUACAAGUUUUUGUUGGUUGUACCUCUGACUUCUAUCCGUUCGACUUUUUUCUCUUCUUGCCUUUGGUAGGAGCUUCUUCAACAAUAUUAACUUCAAUUAUUGUCGAACUCUAACGAGACUUCUUUUCGGCGAUUCUAUUAUAUUCCUCAAUCUUGAGCCGAAUCACAAAAUUUUCAAGUUUCAUUUCCUUACGUUUGUGCUUUAAAUAAUUCUUGAAGUCGUUCCACGAAGGAGGUAACUUCUCGAUCAUUGCAACCACUUGAAAAGCUUCAUUUACAAACAUAUCCUCAGCAUUCAGAUUAUGGAAAAUAAGUUGAAGUUCUUGCACUUGUGAUUCAACAGUUUUACUAGUUGACAUUUUAUAGUCUAAAAACUUUGCGACCACAAACUUUUUCAAGCAUGCAUCUUUUGUCUUAUAUUUCUUCUAAGGUGCAUCCCACAAUUCUUUCAAAGUUGUCAUUGCACUAUACAUAUUAUAUAAGUCAUCCUCUAAAGCACUCAGAAUGUAGCCCUUACAUAGGAAGUCUGUCUGUUUUCAUGCUUCAAUAAUCAUGAAUUUUUCUUUGUCUAACAUUUCAGCAGCAGGCACUGGAGUUUCUUUACUGGUAAAUUUCUACAGACAAAGAGUGCUAAGCCAGAAAAAUACCCGUUGCUGCCAUCCUUUGAAAUUCAUACCAGAGAAUUUUCCCGAUUUCUCUGUUGGUGGUAUAACAAUUCGGGUUGGUGCAGCAACAACCACUGUUACAUUGUUGUUUGCCAUUUCUGAUAAACAAAAAUCGAUACAAACUUAGUAAGCAAUAACUUAAAUUGCAAACUUAAUAGGAGUAUAAAACUACAAAGGAUUUUGUCUCCACCAAAAACACAGAUUAAAAAUAAAUAACUAAUUUCCUUAAGAUUGUUGCCAAUCUGUGUUUAAAAAACAGUAAUACUGAUUACCAAAAACUUUGAAGAAACACGAAGUUACCAAAGUUUCCAAUGAACCAGUGAAGAAAAGAAGAACAUAAAUUAAUUCACAAAAAAUUAAAAUCUGUAAAACAUACCAGAAUCUGGAAAAGACAAAACGAAAAAAGAUCAAGUCUACUGAAUGCACAAUGUCCCCUUAAGGAAAUUAUUCCUCUCUAGUAUCUGAGGUUUGAUUUGGAAUAUAUCCUCCUAAGAUAGAAUGAUCUCAAUCACCAGUAUAUUGAUACCCAAAACGCGAGCCACUCAACGGUAGUAAAUUACACGAAAAAUAUUUAUGCAAAAGAAGAAGAAGAAAUCAGAAAUUUUCGUAAGUAAAAAGUCUGAAGAAUAACUGGUAUUUAUAGCCAAGAGGAACUGAUUCCGAAAGGUUGCAACCUUUCAGAAACCACACGACCAUUUCAGAAAGUUUGCAACCUUUCAAACGGCCAUGGCUGUUCCUGAAAGUUGCAACCUUUCAGAACAGUCAUCUCCAACGGUGGGAAAUUCAAAUAAAAUGGGAAAGUAAUUUAAAUAAAACCGGUCAUGCGGAUCCGAGUCGGAUCGGAACGUUUCGGUUAAUUAACUAAUUAAUUGAAACGUUUUGGCCAUUUAAUUUUAAAUAAAUAAGUAAAACAAAACUUUAUCCAAAAAAUAAUCUCUGAAUCAUUUUCCAAAGCCGAGCGAGCGACGACGACGGCGCGAGGAGGGUCCCUCUUCCCAACCAUUUUAACAAUUAAUAGAAAUGUUUCUCUAUUUAAAUUCUUCUAUUUUUCUUUUCACCACCGAUGAGGGAGAAAAGCCUUUUUACUAAAGCAUAAGAGGACUUUUCAAGUUCCUCUCUUUUCAUCUUCCCUCCAUUUUCCAUUAACUCUUGUUAUAUACCCAACAAUAUAUACGUCCAAGAAACUUAAAUGAUUAUUAGAAGAAAAUAUGAAAAAUAGGAUGAACGUACGAUUGCAAUCCUCAUUUAAUUAGAUAGAACAUUGAUUAUCUUAGAAAUGAAAGCAAUAUGGAUUUAAACCACAAAAAAAAAGUAUUAUGUCAACACAAAUAAUAGUAUCCAUAUAGGUGGUGGACAACUAUCUUCUUAUAAAUUUUAACAAUUCUCAUUUCGUAAAUUAAUUUUUGAAGUUUAAUUAAGUUUAAUAUUAGACGAGAGGGAGUUGCUCGGAUGGUAAGCACCCCUCACUUUCAAUCUGAAGGUUGCGAGUUCGGGUCACCAAGGAAGCAAAAGGGGUGGGAGCUCCUAGGGAGGGUUAAAAAAUAAAAUAAUAAUAAUAAUAAUAAUAUUAGAGUUAGAUUCAUCUCAAUUCUGUUCGAUGCUAGAUCCCAGAUCAUAUUAUGGUGUACACGUAAUAAUCCAAUCUAUGAGUAUAGGAUUGUUAAUAUGUAGUUCAUAACGAUUAAUUUUUAUUUCCUACUUAGUCACGUCUCAUUAUUUAUAAAGAAAUUAGUUAUAACUGGAGAUAACCAAUACUCGACAAUUCAUUUGAACCCGUUUUUCAUGAGCUAUACAAUGGUUUAAACGUAUAGUACUUACGGCGCCGAAACAAGAAAAUUGAUGCGCCUUAGUACUUGCCAAGCAAGAAAGGGGAAGAUGAUGACUUGGUUCGUUUCUAAAUAUCCAAAUUGUAGGAUGACUUAUUGACUUUUUGGGACCCCAUUUAUUGGAACCAAAUUUAGAGGAUAUAUUACUUCGUCAAUUUAGUUUGUUUUUAUUUUAUUAUUCUAAUGGAAUUUAAGAAAAUAAAAUUUAGAACUAAAAGUGUCACAAAGGGGAUUUUUUAAAACGAUUUUUAAAGAAAAAGUAAGAUAAAUAAAUUUUAAAAAAAAAAAUACCUGAAUUUUGUAAUCUAUUUGUUUUAAUUUAUUGUUUUAUUUUGACUAGAUAUAAAAUUUCAAAAAAAAUAAAAGAAUUUUUUAAUCAUUUAAUUUUAAAUUAAAAUAUGUAUUAAAAUAUAUUUUGAAUCUUAUAAGAUGAAAAAUAAAAUACUUGAAUUAAAAUAAAUGGAGUAAUAAAUUUUAUCCAAACAUAUAUUGGUUCCGUCUUAAUUUACGUGAUACUACUAUUUAAUUUGACGCAAAUUUAAGAAUUAAAAGAAAUAUUUUUAAAAUUUAUGGUCUAAACGAUGACUACUAUUCAUGUGGUUACAAAUCUAAAAGGUAAGUGUGUCAUGCAAAUUGAGACGGAAGAGUACUCCCUUCGUCCAACAAUAGUUGUGCAUUAUACUAUUUUGGGAUGUCCAAAAAUAUUUGUCCACUUUAUGAAAUAAUGAAUAAUUUUACACUUAUUCCUAAUUUCUGUUCAUUUUCUCCAAAUUUUAGCUUGGAUUGGAGACACAUGUCAUAGUUUAGAAUUAAUAGUUGAGAUCUAAUUAAUUAAAACAAAGUUUUAACCAUAGUUAUUUACUUUCAUAUAUUUGCUUCUUAAAUAAUUUUGCAAUCCAACAAUUCUAGAUUUACAUUAUAUUUUUCCUAAAUAUAUAUUUUUUAAAUUUCUUUUCUUAAUUACUUGAGUAAUAUUUUGCUGAUUUUUUUUACUUUUUUCCCUGACGAUUGUCAUUUCUCAAAUAAUAUUUGUCAAAUAAAAAAUUAAAAAUUGCGACCUAAUUUUUUUUAAAAAAAAUUAUGAGUAAAAUAAAUUUUGUCACUCAACUUUAAAUUAUUUUUUACUCCCUAAAUGGAGUCCAUAUUACUCUAUAGACAUUGUAGCUCUUAAUACUCUAUUAGAAUAAUAAAAUCGUUUAACUGUAUUAUAAUUUUUUUCAAUAAAGUAAAAAUAUUUAGUAAAAGUUUAAAAUAUGUAGGCAGGGCAGUAAAGAAAAGUUUUUAAUAUAUUUAGUGAAACUAUAAUGGAUUGCCAAAAUAUUUAAGAAUCAAAUAUAUGAAAGUAAAUAACUAUGGUUAGGACUUUGUUUUAAUCAAUCAUAUCUCAACCAUUAAAUCUAACUAUGACAUGUGUUUCCAAUUCAAGCUAGAACUUGAGGAAAAUGAAGAGAAGAGAAAUUGAGAAUAACCGAAUCCGUAUUUAUUAUAUUCAAAAAGUGAUAUAAUAAAAUUAUCCUUCUUUUUAAAGUUUAUUAAGAAAUGUGCAAAAUUAAUAGUGGAUUAAAUAUUGUUAGACACGGUAUAUUUUAAACAAUCAUUUUAUUUUUAUGGAUUCAGACGAUGAAAACUAAGUCAACUUUAUAACGUGCGGAGUUUGACGGAUGACUGAAUCAUUCUUCUUCAACACGCGUUAUUUCAAAUAAAUACUGUUCUUACAACUCUAUAAAUAGAGAAGAAUAUACAAAUACUCCUCACUGCAAUUUCUCAGCAUUUCAAAUAUUCCUCUCUUUUACUCUCUCUGCCUACUCAAUUAUACUCCUAACCAAACUUUAAUUCCCCAUCAAACAAACAAAAUGAAGGUAUACAAAUUAAUUUAAAUGUAAUUUUAAAUUUUUUUUAAGUAUAUGAUUCAACUCUUAUCUAUUAACAAAUGUUGUUAAAUUUGUGCAGCAAAAAGUUGUUAUCAGACUAUCUUUGAAUGGAAACAAUCAGAAAUAUCGAACCAAGGCCUUCAAGAUUGCUGUUUCUCAAUCAGGUAAUUUCAAUCAAAUGUAUCGAAUAAAGUCUCAUAUUGAUGUUAAUUAAAAAAAAUCGUGUGAAUUUGGCUCAAAGCUGAUUAUAUAUGUAUUGUUAAUUUUUGUUACUUAGGUGUGGAAUCAGCAGCUAUAACAGGGGACGGAAAGAACCAAUUGGAAGUUGUGGGAGAAGUAGACGCGGCGACUCUAACGAGCUUAUUGAGGAAGAAUUUGGGUCAGGCGGACUUGGUGAGCGUUGGCCCGGCUGGUGGUGGCCCCGCAGCUGCAGCUCCAGCUCCAGCCGUAGCUGCAGCUGCGAUGGUUCAGUCACAACCUGGCUCGUAUUAUUAUGCCUAUCCGUCUUAUCAAUACCCAGUUUACCAAGUUACAGAUUCCUAUGGCGAAUCCAAUUGUUCCAUUAUGUGAAUGACAAUUUUCGGUUGCCUAUGGAAAACAGAGUGUAUAGUAUUGGAAUAGAGGGAUUCAAUAUAAUUAACUGUAUUCACAGUCAAAUAUUUAUUGAUAUGUUAAUAGAUAGGGCUAUAGAGUUUGAGCGAAAGCUAUUUGGUUCACGUGAACUUGUAUGGUGUAUCAUUGAAGUUUUUGGUCCCUGUCCAGAGAGCUUAAUGGACUAUCUAGUAGAUGAAGAGUUUUGGUUUUUUUUUCCCCAUCUUUUUGGGUCUUUGUACAUGCCUUUCAAAUAUUAAAAUAUAUGAUUUUUCGUAUAAUUGGAUGAUCUGAGUGAUUUUAUCUAUGUUGUCGAAUUUAUUUGAAUUUAGUAUUUUUAAUAUAGAGUAUAAAUUUAAUGUGUAAACGUUUACUGAAACUGCAACAAAUAUUAGACAAGCUUCAAAAAUAUAAUGUCAAUUAUGAUAGAGUAACUUUUAAAGUAUACUACAUAAAAUUUAUGUUCUGAAUCCGUAAUAUACCUAAACAUGGUGGACUUUUAUAAACACAAAGAGAAGUUUCAUCUAAACUAAAUAAGAACACGAAAUUGCAAUGCGGGAGUAUUAAUUUUCCUUGUACUAAGAUUAGAUUAACACAAGCUGUUUAUUUUGGGUUAUUUAAUUUUCAUAUAUAAUCUAUUUCGAGAACCACACAAUCAGUGUGUGAUUAUUGUGAAAAAGGUUUGUCAUUUCAACUCAAGCUUGUGGGAGAAAAGUAUAUGAAUGGUGUGUUUGUUGGGAUAUAUACUAUUAACUAUGUGUUAAGAAAUAAUAUUUAUUAUAGAAUAAAUAUUUGCUCAAUUUUAAUAGAUCAUAUAUUCGUUUAUGGUGUCUAUUUACUUAUAUAGUAGAUGAUUUAGUGUGUAGAGUUUUAGCUUAUACACAGAUGAUUAAAUCAUCGGUUCUUAUAAGUAUAAAGUUUUUUGUUCACAAUCUAGGAUGGAAAUUGGACAUGCCAUCGGUACUAUUGUAGCACAAGAUUAUAGGUAAUUUAUCUUGAUUAUGGGAACGGUAUAGUUCCAACUUCUUGUGCUAGUGCAUUUUUUAUGUAUUGAACAGGACCGAGUAGAGAUAGUUGUUUUAGACUGACUGACAAAACAUAUUCUCUAAACUAUUAAAUGUACUUAUAUUCUUAAUCCUGAUAUAACUAUUAUGAUCUGUAUAUAUUAAUUAUCGUUUUGAUUUAUUAAAAGGUGAGAUUCUGAGAUGGGUCAAUAUGCCUGGUAAGUUGGAUGAUAAUAAUAUAUAUUGGUGAAAUAAUAAGUUAGUUGAUGAAAUCCAUGUCUCGUUAUAGAGAUUGAUUGAUAUGCCUUUUUGAGAAACUUAUAAGUUUUCAUCGUGUUAAACCUUGCAAGUGGAUUUAUGAAUCCGACACAUGAAAUAAGUUAAGUAGUGCUCUAAAGGAAAUUAAUCAUUAAGUUAAAUUCGUCAGUAAUUUAAUUUAUUGAUUAGUAUCUGAAAUCUUAACAUGGGGAAUUACAUAAGUGUUUAAUGGGGAAUUACGAAAUAUAAAUAGAGGAGUGCAAUUACGAAUUUCUAGUGGAAUGAUUUGUAAUUUAUUAUGGUAAGAAUAAUUCAAAUUAAUUAUUUGGAAAUAUUUCCAUAAUAGGAAGCCUCAGUAAUUAAUUAUGUGGUCCCUCCAGUGCCCAUAUUUAACUAGAACUCAAAAUCCUAAUUCUAAAGGGAAAAGGGGAGAGGCGUUAGUUUUCUUAUAAAAGGAAAACUAGCGUGUAUUUUUCGGUUGAUGAAAAAUAACGUGUGUUUGGUUCUCCUCUUUGGACUGUGAAGAAAUCUCUAUAAUUAGGGAUUCUUCCUACCCUAGAUUGAUUAGUUUUCUAUUCAUACUUGCCCACCCAAGUAUUGAGAGAGUUCAGAUGUGAACUUGGGAUCACUGUAGAAGACCAUAGCUAUCUUGUAGAUUCACUUGAAGGUCUGUAUAACUUGGGGAUUCGCUUGAAGGUAUAUGUUCACGCUUCAAGAGGUAUUUAUCGAAUUAAAUUUCAGUAUGUUUAUGUGUUCUAGCAUGAUUAUGUGAUCUAGCAUAAACGAUUAUUGGUUAUCUAUUAUUCAUGUAAGCAGUAAGAUUCGAAUAUGUUUCCGCUGUGCAUAUAAUUUUCCAACAGUGUUUGGCACGGAGGAAAAUAUUUUAAAUUGUUUUGUUGAUCAAAGGUUUUGAAAAGUAGAAUUUUUAGAAAAUAAAGUAUUGUUUUGAAUGUGACUAUUUUAGCUAUGUUUGUUGAAAUAUACUCAAAAUAAUCGAACGAUUAAUAUCAUCUUUCUUAACUAAGUUUCACAAUUUUUAAAAUAUAUUAAAAAUUAAUUACAUACACCUUGAAAAAAGUAGUUUUUUAUUAAUAAAAAAAAAGGAAUCUCGUUGUCUUAAAUACAUUAAUUAUUCUUCAUUAAUCACAUUAAAUAUUUUUAAAAAACUACUAAGAUGAAUCUUUUAGGUAACUAAUACUCCCUCUGUCCAAUAAUACUUGUUCAUUAUUGACUUUACACGCUCUUCAGAAACUUUAAAUAAAAGGGUAAAUACAAUGUCUUGAAAAUAUUAUAGAGAAAUAACUAUAAUUAACGAUAGGAAAAAUUCUUCUGACCAAAAAAAUUUGGCCAUAAUUUGGCUAGAAUGGUAAAAGGACAUGUUCACACUAUAAGCUAGUUUAUUUUUGGACAAUUUUAUCCUUUAACUCAAAUAUUGAAUAUAUUUUUCAAUUAUGUUUUCAAUGCAUUAAAAAUGAUUGAUGAGAUUAAUUAUUUAUGAUUUCAUAGUUAAACAUUAAAAAUGAACCACAAAAUCCACCAAAGAAAACAUAAUUUUCACCCACUCUACCCUCUUGAAAUUUUCAAGAUCUAAAAAAAAAAAAAAAUGUUUUAAAAAAUAAUUAAAAAUGUAAGCGUAGUAGUAAAAAACUACAUAAUAAAAAAAGUAGUAAAAAAUAUAUCUCUUUUUUCAGUUUCAAAAAUUCCUCCUUUUUACUUAUUCUUUUUUUGUUUAUUUAUAUUCCAUUUCUUAUUUCUUAAUGAUAAAAAGAGAAAAUUUAAAAACUAUAAAAGAGGAGUAAAGUGUAGAUGAUCUAUUUUACUUUAUAAUUUCUAAUCUAGAAAAGAUAAAUUAUAUCUAAAUUUAAAUAUUGAAAAUUUAUAUCUAUAAUACUCAAAAUUUAAUAUUUGAAAUUGACCCAGUUGGCAAAAUAAUUACUCCUAUUUAUUUCAAGGAGUCGUUGUUACACAUCGAUUUCUAGAAAGAAGUUAAAUAAUAAAAAUAUAUUUUAUUUGAUUAUACUUAGAAUGUAUAUGAGCGAAAUAUGAAGAAAAUUGAAACUAUAAUAAUGUUUCUCUUAUUAUGUGAUUGUCAUAUCCACGAUCGUAUAUGAAUUAUAUCAUUCACAAAUAAAGACUCAUUAAAAUUAAUAUUUUAUUUUUUAUUUUUGUACUAGAGACGUAUACAAAUAUUUUUGGAUAAAAAUGUUGACGGCGCUUCAUUGAAAAAUUAUAAUAACACGGAAAGGAUAUAGAAAGUUCUUCAUGAUUUCAAAAUAAUUUUUUAUAAAAAAAAAAUGAAAGAAAAACAUAUUCAUAGUUCUCCAAUGAUAAUGACAACACAAAUUUGUUAAGCAUGAACUAUCAAAGUUUCAUAACAUAUAUAUUUUUCUUUAUUAGUAUUAUUUGUUGUUUUAUAAAAAAAAUGUUUGUUAUUAAAUGAUUUGUUAAAAUAUUAAGUUUACAUAGUUAUAAGUCAUAAUAUUAAAAUUAUUUUUCCCUCAAAUUAAUAUUUUUUUGAAACUGAUUAUGAAUUUUUAUAAUUAAGUAAUUUUAUUGUAUUUAUUAUAUAAAUAGAUUUAAAUUACAUAAUUAAAUUACAUUUUACAUAAUUUUUUAAAUAUAAUGUAAAUAGUUUAAUAAUAACAAUCAAAACUCAAAACACUCUAGUUCAUAUGUAUCAACCCUAGAUAACAAACCAAAAGAGCCAAAUAUUAUAGUCUUGUGCCCCUGUUAUGUCAAUUUGAUGAUUUGAGAAUCAUUACUUAUAUUUGUUACUAAUAUGAGGUCUAAUUAGAUAAUUGUAGUAAUUAUUAGUAUGUUAAAAGAAAUUAAGCUAUGCAUAAAAAAUAAAAAUAUAAUUUGAAAAUAUUUCAAUAAUGGCAAUCAAAACUCAAAGUACUUUAGAAUUAGUCUACAUCGACACAUUAUAGAAAUACUUAAAAUCAUAUGGUUCAUAAGCGACGAUCCUAUUUUACACCAAAGAUAGUUACACAUAAUGUUGUAGUUUUGCAUAUUUGCUAAUUAUUAUGUUUAAAAAAAAUUAAACUACAUAUUUAAAUAAUUAAGUGAUAUCCCUAGUCAACAACAAGCUAAGAGUAUUUUCAAAAAAAAAAAAAACAAGCUAAGAGAGUGUUUACGCAUUAAUGUUAUAGUCUUGCACCUCUAUACUAUACUGACUUGAUAACUUAUGAAUUAUUAUUGAUACUUGUUAUUAAUAUGAACUCUAAUUAAAUAAUUUAAUGAAUUAUUGUGUUUAAACAAAUUUAAAUUAUAUAUUACUAUUUUUUAAUAUAAUCUGAAAAUAUUACAAUAAAAACAAUCAAAACUCAAAAUACUUUAUAGAGAUCAAUAUAUUAUGAUUCAUAUUAUAACUUAUAAGUAUCAAUCCUANNNNNNNNNNNNNNNNNNNNNNNNNNNNNNNNNNNNNNNNNNNNNNNNNNNNNNNNNNNNNNNNNNNNNNNNNNNNNNNNNNNNNNNNNNNNNNNNNNNNNNNNNNNNNNNNNNNNNNNNNNNNNNNNNNNNNNNNNNNNNNNNNNNNNNNNNNNNNNNNNNNNNNNNNNNNNNNNNNNNNNNNNNNNNNNNNNNNNNNNNNNNNNNNNNNNNNNNNNNNNNNNNNNNNNNNNNNNNNNNNNNNNNNNNNNNNNNNNNNNNNNNNNNNNNNNNNNNNNNNNNNNNNNNNNNNNNNNNNNNNNNNNNNNNNNNNNNNNNNNNNNNNNNNNNNNNNNNNNNNNNNNNNNNNNNNNNNNNNNNNNNNNNNNNNNNNNNNNNNNNNNNNNNNNNNNNNNNNNNNNNNNNNNNNNNNNNNNNNNNNNNNNNNNNNNNNNNNNNNNNNNNNNNNNNNNNNNNNNNNNNNNNNNNNNNNNNNNNNNNNNNNNNNNNNNNNNNNNNNNNNNNNNNNNNNNNNNNNNNNNNNNNNNNNNNNNNNNNNNNNNNNNNNNNNNNNNNNNNNNNNNNNNNNNNNNNNNNNNNNNNNNNNNNNNNNNNNNNNNNNNNNNNNNNNNNNNNNNNNNNNNNNNNNNNNNNNNNNNNNNNNNNNNNNNNNNNNNNNNNNNNNNNNNNNNNNNNNNNNNNNNNNNNNNNNNNNNNNNNNNNNNNNNNNNNNNNNNNNNNNNNNNNNNNNNNNNNNNNNNNNNNNNNNNNNNNNNNNNNNNNNNNNNNNNNNNNNNNNNNNNNNNNNNNNNNNNNNNNNNNNNNNNNNNNNNNNNNNNNNNNNNNNNNNNNNNNNNNNNNNNNNNNNNNNNNNNNNNNNNNNNNNNNNNNNNNNNNNNNNNNNNNNNNNNNNNNNNNNNNNNNNNNNNNNNNNNNNNNNNNNNNNNNNNNNNNNNNNNNNNNNNNNNNNNNNNNNNNNNNNNNNNNNNNNNNNNNNNNNNNNNNNNNNNNNNNNNNNNNNNNNUUUUUUUAAUAUAUUAAUUAUUUAUAUACAAAAAAAUAUGAAAUUAAAUCUCAAAAAUAGUGUUUUUUCUGUUAUCUUAUAGAGUUGCUUUAUUGGAGACAUAAAGUAGAUAUUUAUUCUUGUUAGUUUCUUUUUUAAUUUACUCCACAUUUUAAAUUAUUUUUAAACAGAGCCAGGAGAAUUUAAAAAAAAUAAGGUAAAGAAGUAGAAUGACGAAAAACGAGAAGAAAAAUGAAUUUGACGAAGAAACAAAACUGUUAAAUAUUUUAUUAGGUGGGAUUCAAAACAUUAAUCUUAUCAAAAUAAUAAAUGCUUUAUACAACUUAUUAGAAAAGAGCAAGCCUUAAUUUUAUUUCUUUAUUUUGAAGGAAAAAAGUUAUAAUUGUCUUUUUAAAAUGGGCAAAUAUUGUUGGACAUUCUAAAAUAAUAUAUUCCCUCUGUCCCAAAUUACUUGUCCACUUUUGAAUUGACACACCUAUUAAGAAAAUAAUUAUUGACAUAGUAAAUUUACCAUUUUACCCCUAUUAAUUAUGAAGUAAAUGAAUUAAAAACUUAAGAUUUCAAGAAUUUCUACCUUUUUCAAAGUAAUUAAUUGAGGGUAUAAUAGGUAAAAAAAAUUGUCCUUUCUUGAUUUGUUAAAAUGGAUAAGUAAUUAGGGACAACUAAAAAAGGAAAUGUGGACAAGUAAUUAAAGACAGAGAAAAUAGUAAACAACUAUUAUAAGACGGAGAGCAUUAAAGUUUACAGACAUUUCUUGAGUAAUUUCCCUGGAUAGUCACCCAUGUUUGGGAAAUUACCUUGAAAUAUCACUUAUGUUUGUUUUAGGACCACAAUAUCACCCAACUUACCUCUUUUCCUCAAAAUAUACUUACACAAAAAAACAUUAUCUCUCUCCUAAUAGGAUGUCAUGUCACACUAUUCCUUUUUCAUUAUUAACAUUUUCUUUUUAAAAAUUUAGACAACCCAUAUUACCUAGUAAAAAAAAAUAACAUAGCCCAAAAUUUCUACCUAGUUCUAGGGGAUUAGGCGGUCAAAUCCAAAUAUGAGCUACUCCGAUUCUUCAAGAAAAUAUGUGGCUUCCUCCGAUUUUUCAAGCGAGAUAAUGUUUUUAUAUGGGCACUAAUGGGCAAUGACACCUUUUUGUUGAGUCCGGAGCCAAAAGUGCAACUUUUUUUUCUUUAAAAAACAAAAAGGGCACAUCAAAAAAAAAAAUUAACCAAAAGGGCAAAAUCACUCCUGAGCGAUUUUGUUCUGACAAAAAUUGACGCCGCUCGGCUAAAAGAAAUAAAAAUCGCUGCCGAUUUUCUCAAAAAAAAAAAAAUUCUUUAAAAUUGCUGCUAUAACAACGUUUUUAUAUAAAAAAAAUUAAAAGCAAAAUCUCUGCUAUAGCAGCGGUUUUGUUUAGGAAAUUUUUUUAAAAAUGUUUUGAAGUUAAAUCGCUGCUAUAGCAGCGAUUUUGUUUAAGAAAUUUUUUUUUAAAAAAAAAAUCCUAUCCUUGCAGAGAAUUUGAUUAAAAUUAAAACUGAAGCCAGCGAUUUUCAUAAAAGCUUUUUUCAAAAAUCUUUACCCUUUCAGCGAUUUAAAUGAAAAUUAAAAAAAAAUUAAAACUGAAAAUCGCUGCUUCAGCAGCGAUUUUUUCUUUAAAAAACUUGUUUUUUUUUAAAUGGCUGCCGCCGGAAAUCUAUGUAAUUUAAAACUUGUUCUUUAGGUUUUUUUUUAAUUCCUUAACAAAAAAUCGCUGCUAUCACUUUUUUUUUUUUUUUUUUAAUAAAAACGCUGCUAUAGCAGCGAUUUUAAAGAAAUAAUGAUUUUUUUUUUGAGAAAAUCGUUGCCAAAUGCAGCGAUUUUUAUUUCUUUUAACGAAACGACGUCAAUUUUUAUCAGAAGAAAAUCGAUCCGUCAGAAGGGAUUUUGCCUUUUUGGUUAUUUUUUUUUUGAUGUGCCCUGUUUGUUUUUUGAAGGAAAAAAAUGACCCUUUUAGCUUCGGACUCCCUUUUUGUUGAUAUUUUAAUUCAUUAGAGUAAUAAGAUAACCAUACAGUCAAACUACAAAUGAUAUAAUGUUUUUAAAGAAUUUUAAAAAAUGUUAAUAAUAAAAAAGGAAUAAUGUGACAUGGCAUCCUAUUAGGAGAAAGAUAAUAUUUUUUUUGUGUCAAGUAUAUUUUGAGGAAAAGAGGUAAAGAUAAUAUAUUUUUUGAGUCAAGUAUAUUUUGAGGAAAAGAGGUAAAGUUGGAUGAUAUUGUGGUCCUAAAACAAACAUAAGUGAUACUCUUAGGUAAUUUUUCAAACAUGAGUGACUAUCCAGGGAAAUUACUCGACAUUUCUUAUAUAUUCAACCCAUUAAACGAGUGGCAUUACUUCUUGCUCUUAAAAAAUCAGUCCCUAAUUUUAUGAAAAGAAAAGGAAGCAACAUAAUAAUGAAGACAAUAACAGUUCGAUAUGAAAUUAAAUACUAUUAAAUGAAAGACUCAGAAAAAUACAAAAAAGUUGACUGACUUGGAAGUGUGAUUUGUGAACAAGAGAUUAGGCUGGAAGGGGCCAAGAACUAGAACCAUCGUUUCUUAACUCAACUAACUUAAACAAGUUCCUACUCUCUUCCUUGAUUCUAAUUUACGUGACACACUUUUUUAAAUCUAUUUUUAAAUAAUUACGUGAGAAAUUUAAAAAUUUAAAUAAGACAGAGAGGUCAAAAUAAACACUAUAUUAGUAUUAGUUCCAUCCUUUUCUAUUCAAAUAUUUAACAUAAUUAGUCCUUUUAUCCUGUUUAGUCCGUCUUUAAAAAAUGACAUAUUUCUUUACUUAGUAAUAAUUUAACUUUAAAAUUUUUAUUUUAUUCUUAGUGAAAUAAUUUAUAGCAACACAAAUUUUUAUGACUUAUUUUAAACAAUAAAUUUUAAAUAUUCUUUUUUAAACUUCGUGUCAAGUCGAACUAAUUCAUAUAAUUUGGACGGAGGGAGUAUAUGUUGUCAAUUAUUUCGUUAUAGGAAUAAAAUUGUCAAUAGUGACAUGCUCUUGGACAUUGAUCAUUCACCUUCUUCGAAUUAUUGAGGCAACUCAUCCUCCUUGUAAGAAUAGUAAAUAAUUUCAAGAUUGCACAAGAUACUUCAUAUAAUAUUUUAAAUGGAAAAACUACCUAAUCACACAUACAUCACUACGGAAAAACUACCUAAUCACACAUACAUCACUACCAUAUAUACUAUAUUUAUCUCUAGUUUAAAAUAAUUAUACAUAUUAUCACUUUUAAUAUUUAUACCAUAUAUUUUAAAAGAUUUUAUAAGAUACACAAAUUCCUUAAAUAUGGUAUUUGAUAAUUAUCUUAAAUUUAAACUCCUUAAUUAAUGGUCAUUAACAAGUUAAAUUUUUUCAAUUAUCAUCUGCCACCGCCGUUCCCCACUCCCAUGUCCAGCAGCACGUACACUUUCUUUCUUCUUCUUCUUCUCCCUCUUUAAUUUAUUCCGUCAUUCUCUCAAUACAUGUUCGCAUAUUUAAAUCAGUAUUUUAUAUAUAUGUUUGUUUCUAUUGUUUUAUUAUUCUUAUGUAUCUUGAUUUGGUAUCUGAGUUAAAAUUCAUAAUGUUCUUAAAGUUCAAUUUUAAAAAGUUUUACAAAUUAGGUUUUAUAUUUUUUGAUUUUGUUGUUUCUCAAACACUUUAAUGGCUGACCAUUCUUAAAAUCGGAUUAUUCUUGUUAAAGGUACUAUACAUUAACAAUAUUAUACUAAAUCAAACAAUUUUUAUUUGUUUAUUCCUACUCAUGAAUUUCUCAUUGCAGGGACUGACUCUUCAUCAUCCACAUUCAAGCCGAGAAUAGAUUUAAGUAUAGGGACGACUCAAUCAAGAUGAAAGAAUUACGUCAAGUUUUAAUUAACCAAACAAAUACACCAUUAGAUAUGCAAUAAUGUUGGAUACAAAUCAUAUGUGUACAUGUAUCUAAUUAAGAGUUCAUGUAUCUGACUUAAGAUUAUAUGUAUCUAUGAGAAAAAAAUUCAGAUGCUAAAAAGAGAAGAAUUUUGAAACUUUUUACCUUUUUGGAUUAAUGGUAAACAAAUACUCUACCAUCAUGAUUUUUCCUAAAUUCAUGAGUUUCAGUUACAUUUCAUAUUUAGAUACACAUAAUUAUAUGUAUAUGCUUAUUAUGUAUCCGAGAUACAUGUUUUGAAUAUAAUGUAUGAAACUAAUACUUGAUACAACAAAUUAAUACUAGAUACCUAUAAAAGAUACAUGAAACUAAAAUUAGAUCAUAUAAAUAGAUACAUGAAAUUAAUACUAGACACAUAUAAAAAAUACAAUUAAAUAAAUCUAGAUAAUUCAAUGAUACAUAUGUAUCUAAGUGUUUAGUUGGUUGGAUACACCAUAUAUUGCUAAUAGAUACAUCAAAUUAAUGAAUUUAUUAUUUUAAGAAUAAUAAAAUGAAAUUAAUCAAAUUACAUGACUAAUAUAUAAAUGUUUUUUUAAUCUUUUAUCAAUAAUAUUAAUGAAUUUAGUAUUUCAAAGAAUAAUAAAAUGAAAUUUAUUAAACAUACCUUGAUUUCCGCCUUAUAUUAAGGGAUUUGAUUAAUUUAAAAUUUUCAAAAUUAUAUGUCCAUGUAUUCUGAAAAUCCUCAACUACUUCUCUAAUUAAGGAAAAUCGGUUACAACUAAUUAAUUUAAACAAUAAAAUAUGUAUCUCAGUUUGAAAAUUCGGCAGAUACAUGUAUCUCACGGAUUCCAACUCGUGUAUCCUAAGUAUGAAAAUAUGGUAGAAGAAGUAAUAUUUGAAACUAUCGGGAAUUUUAGUAAUUAAGACCUAAACUAGUGGGAUUUAUGUAGUUUGGCCAUUUUAAAUUGACUUGGUGUGCCUUUAUUACAAGUUGUAUAAUUUCAAGAUAGCACAAGAUACUUCAUAUAAUAUUUUAAAUUGACUUGGUGUGCCUUUAUUAUAAGUUGUUGGCCUAACUCUAUAAUAUAAAGAAAGUAAUAGUAUUGCUUUUUUUUUUCGUGUGAACAAGUAUUUAAAAUAUUGCUCAUAUAGUAAAAGAAACGAGUUAGUAAGACAUCUUUAUAUAUGAGCCAUUCCGUGUACGAAAUAACGAUGACUUCUUUAGUUGCAUUUUUAGAGCUUGAUGGUCGUAGACUCAUAGCGUAGUCAUAAUUUAAAUUUUAUGAAUUUAAAAUUCUAAUUUUUUAAAAUUAAUGAGUUCUGAAUUAAUAAUUUGUACAUAUUUCAUAAUUUUUUAAUUAAUACAAAUAGAACAUUUGAAUCAAAUCAAAAUCCUAGCCCCACAUCUAUGGCUAGAUCAUUGUAUGAUUAACCAACUACUUCAAUAUGCCCUCUUAGACACAUUUUAAUUUCCUACUGUGGUGUCCCCACUUGUACUACAAAGACUCUUUCAAUUCAUGGCUUAUUAAUUUCAACAAUCCAAUGUUAGUUGAUUAUUAUAUUAAAAAUAAUUGUUUAAUAUUAUUUGUUCACCUUACUAAAUUAAGAAUUUUUUUUUUUUUAUGUUACCCUUGCAAUUAAUUUUUUUGAAAGUAUUCACAUUUGUUUGUAAUAUUUUCAAGAAGUUUUUUAAAGGGUGAAUUAAUAAAAUUAUCUUCUUAUUUAUGAUUUCUUAAACAUCAUGCAAAUGAAAAGUGAUCAUAUAAUAUGAAACAGAUAAAAUAAUAAAAAGAAAGACUGACUUGUUGACUUGUCUGCAACCCAAAAAAUCUGCUUAUGUAUAUCAUACAUCAAAAGGAAAUGAGUUGGUUAUAAAUACUUUUACGAGUCGUUUGAUUUGAAUUCAAGUUAUGAUGUGUGAUGAGAUUAGUUAUACUAAAAUUAUUUUUUAUUGAGUGUUUGAUUUGUUAUAUCAAAAUAAUAAAUUUCAAGAACAAUUUAUUUGUUUAUAAAAAUACACCUCAUGAAUGUGAAAAGUGAUGUAUAAAAAAGAUUUAAAGGGAAAUAACUAUAAUUAAUGAUAAGCGUAAAUUAGAAAUUAAGUAUAAAUUAUCCAUUAAUUUUAUAAAAUGGACAAAUAUUGUUGGACAUUCUAAAAUAAUAUACUCCAUCUGUCUCUAAUUACUUGUUCACUUUUGAAUUGAUACGUCUAUUAAGAAAAUAAUUAUUGACAUAAUAAGUUUACCAUUUUACCCCUAUUAAUUAUGAAGUAAAUAAAUUAAAAACUUAAGAUUUCAAGAAUUUCUACCUUUUACAAAGUAAUUAAUUGAGGGUAUAAUAGGUAAAAAAAAUUUAUCCUUUCUUGAUUAGUUAAAAUAGACAAGUAAUUAAGAACAACUAAAAAAAAUAUUGACAAGUAAUUAAAGACAAAGGGAAUAAUAAACCACUAUUAUAAGACGGAGAGAGUAUUAAAGUUUAAAGACAUUUCUUAUAUAGUCAACCCAUUAAACGAGUGGCAUUACUUCUUGCUCUUAAAAAAUCAGUCCCUAAUUUUAUGAAAAGAGAAGGAAGCAACAUACUCCCUCUCAUCCUAAUUACUUGUCCAUAUUUUUUUUUAGUUGUUUCUAAUUACUUGUCCAUUUUGACAAAUUAAAAAAAGACAAAUAUUUUUUUUACCCAUUAUACCCUCAAUUAAUUACUUUAAAAAAGAUUGAACUUUUUGAAAAUCUUAAGUUUUUAAUUCAUCCACUUCAUAAUUAAUAGAUAUAAAUGAUAAAUUUAUUAUGUCAAUUAUUGUUUUCUUAAUAGAUAUGUCAUUUCAAAAGUAGAAAAGUAAUUAAUGACAGAGAGAGUAAUAAUGAAGACAAUAACAGUUCGAUAUGAAAUUAAAGAAUGUAUUAAAUGAAGACUCAGAAAGAUACAAAACGUUGACUGACUUGAAAGUGUGAUUUGUGAACAAGAGAGUAGGCUGGAAGGGGCCAAGAACUAGAACCAUCGUUUCUUAACUCUCUUUUUUUAUUCUAAUUUACGUGACACGUUUUUUUAAAUUUAUUUUCAAAUAAAUUACCCGAGAAAUUAAAAUUUUUAAAUAAGACAAAGAGAGUCAGAAUAAACACUAUAUUAGUAUAAGUUCCAUCCUUUUCUAUUCAAAUAGAUAUUAAGCAUAAUUAGUCCCUCUAUCAUGUUUAGUCCGUCUUAAAAAAUGAUAUAUUUUUUUAUUUAGUAAUAGUUUAACUUUAAAUUUUUCAUUUUAUUUUUAGUAAAUAAUUUAUAGCGACAAAAAUAUUUAUGACUUAUUUCAAAGAAUAAAUUUUAAAUUUUUUUUCUUAAACUUCGUGUCAAGUUGAACUAAUUCAUAUAAAAUAGACGGAGGGAGUAUAUGUUGUCAAUUAUUUCGUUAUAGGAACAAAAUUGCCAAUAGUGACAUGCUCUUAGACUUUGAUCAUUCACCGUCUUCGAAUUAUUGAGGCAACUCAUCCUCCUUGUAAGAAUAGUAAAUAAUUUCAAGAUUGCACAAGAUACUUCAUAUAAUAUUUUAAAUUGACUUGGUGUGCCUUUAUUAUAAGUUGUUGGCCUAACUCUAUAAUAUAAAGAAAGUAAUAGUAUUACUUUUUUUUCGUGUGAACAAGUAUUUAAAAUAUUGCUCAUAUAGUAAAAGAAACGAGUUAAUAAGGCAUCUUUAUAUGUGAGCCAUCCCGUGUACGAAAUAACGAUGACUUCUUUGAUUGCAUUUUUAGAGCUUGAUGGUCGUAGACUCGUAGCGUAGUCAUAAUUUAAAUUUUAUAAAUUUAAAAUUUUAAUUUAUUAAAAUUAAUGAGUUCUGAAUUAAUAAUUUGUACAUAUUUCAUAAUUUUUUUAAUUAAUACAAAUAGAGCAUUUGAAUCAAAUCAAAAUCCUAGCCCCACAUCUAUUGCUAGAUCAUUGUAUGAUUAACCAACUACUUCAAUAUGCCCUCUUAGACACAUUUUAAUUUCCUACUGUGGUGUCCCCACUUGUACUACAAAGACUUUCAAUUCAUGGCUUAUUAAUUUCAACAAUCCAAUGUUAGUUGAUUAUUAUAUUAAAAAUAGUUGUUCGAUAUUACUCUCUCCGUCUCUAUUUAGUUGUUCACUUUAGAAAUGACACACAUAUUAAGGCAAUAAUGAUUAACAUAGUGAAGUUAUAAUUUUGUCCUUAUUAAUUAAUUAUGAUUCCAAAAUAAAUUUAUCCAAGAUAACUAAUCAAUGUUGGGGGAAGUUUAAAUUUUCAAGAAGUUUAAAUGAGGGUAUAAUAGGAAAUUUUUUUGUCCUUUCUUGAUUUGUCAAAAUUGACAAGUAAAUAGGGACAUCUAAAAGAGGAAAUAUGGACAAGUAAAUAGGGACGGAGGGAGUAUUUGUUUACCUUACUAAAUCAAGAUUUUUUUUUUUUUUAUGUUACCCUUGCAAUUAAAUUUUUUGAAAGUGUUCACAUUUGUUUGUAAUAUUUCCAAGAAAUUUUUUAAAGGGUGAAUUAAUAAAAUUAUCUUUUUAUUUAUGAUUUCUUAAAUAUCGUGCAAAUGAAAAGUGAUCAUAUAAUAUGACACAGAUGAAAUAAUAAAAAGAAAGGCUGACUUGUUGACUUGUCUACAACCCAAAAAAUCUGCUUUUGUGUAUCAUACAUCAAAAGGAAAUGAGUUGGUUAUAAAUACUUUUACGAGUCGUUUGGUUUGAAUUCAAGUUAUGAUGUGUGAUGAGAUUAGUUAUACUAAAAUUAUUUUUUUAUUGAGUGUUUGAUUUGUUAUAUUCAAAAUAAUAAAUUUCAAGAACAAUUUAUUUGUUUAUAAAAAUACACCUCAUGAAUAUGAAAAGUAUGUAUAAAAAGAUUUAAAGGGAUAUUUUUGUUAUUUACUUAUUUUAUCUCAAGAUAAAUUAUCUCGGAAUUACUAUAUCAUCCAAGGGGCCGGAGAGAUAAUUUAUUCUGGUACUAAUUAUUAAUCUCGCUCUCUUUUAUUUAAAAAACUAGAUAAACAAUAGCACGUGCUAAGCACAGGCCCAACACCUUGAAAAAAGUAGUUUUUUAUUAAUAAAAAAAAGGAAUCUCGUUAUGUCUUAAAUACAUUAAUUAUUCUUCAUUAAUCACAUUAAAUAUUUUUAAAAAACUACUAAGAUGAAUCUUUUAGGUAACUAAUAUUCCCUCUGUCCAAUAAUACUUGUUCACUAUUGACUUUACACGCUCUUCAGAAACUUUAAAUAAAAAGGUAAAUACAAUGUCUUGAAAAUAUUAUAGAGAAAUAACUAUAAUUAACGAUAGGAAAAAAAAAUUUGAUCAAAAAAAAUUUGGCCAUAAUUUGACUAGAAUGGUAAAAGGACAUGUUCGCACUAUAAGCUAGUUUGUUUUUGGACAUUUUUACCCUUUAACUCAAAUAUUGAAUAUAUUCUUCAAUUAUGUUUCCAAUGCAUUGAAAAUGAUUGAUUAAACAUUAAAAAUGAACCACAAAAUCCACCAAAGAAAACAUAAGUUUCACCCACUCUACCCUCUUGAAAUUUUCAAGAUCUAAAAAAAAAAAAAAAAUUGUUUUAAAAAAUAAUUUAAAAUGUAAGCAUAGUAGUAAAAAACUACAUAAUAAAAAAAGUAGUAAAAAUUAUAUCUCUUUUUCAGUUUCAAAAAUUCCUCCUUUUUACUUAUUCUUUUUUGUUUAUUUAUUUUCCAUUUCUUAUUUCUUAAUGAUAAAAAGAGAAAAUUUAAAAACUAUAAAAGAGGAAUAAAGUGUAGAUGAUCUAUUUUAGUUUAUAAUUUCUAAUCUAGAAAGGAUAAAUUAUAUCUAAAUUUAAAUAUUGAAAAUUUAUAUCUAUAAUACUCAAAAUUAAAAAUUUGAAAUUGGCCGAGUUGGCAAAAUAAUUACUCCUAUUUAUUUCAAGGAGUCGUUGUUACACAUCGAUUUCUAGAAAGAAGUUAAAUAAUAAAAAUAUAUUUUAUUUGAUUAUACUUAGAAUGUAUGUAGCGAAAUAUGAAGAAAAUUGAAACUAUAAUAAUGUUUCUCUUAUUAUGUGAUUGUCUUCAUAUCCUCGAUCGUAUAUGAAUUAUAUCAUACACAAAUAAAGACUCAUUAAAAUUAAUAUAUUUUUAUUUUUAUUUUAGUAUUUGAGACGUAUACAAAUAUUUUUUGAAUAAAAAUGUUGACGGCGCUUCAUUGAAAAAUUAUAAUAACACAGAAAGAAUAUAGAAAGUUCUUUAUGAUUUCAAAAUAAACUUUUAUAAAAAAAAAAUAAGAAAGAAAACAAUAUUACAUAGUUCUCCAAUGAUAAUGACAACACAAAUUUGUUAAGCAUGAACUAUCAAAGUUUCAUAACAUAUAUAUUUUUCUUUAUUAGCAUUAUUUGUUGUUUUAAUAAAAAAAAUGUUUGUUAUUAAAUGAUUUGUUAAAAUAUUAAGUUUACAUAGUUAUAGUCAUAAUAUUAAUAUUAUUUUUCCCUCAAAUUAACAUUUUUUUAAAACUGAUUAUGAAUUUUUAUAAUUAAGUAAUUUUUAUUGUAUUUAUUAUAUAAAUAGAUUUAAAUUACAUAAUUAAAUUACAUUUUACAUAAUUUUUUGAAUAUAAUGUAAAAUAAUUUAAUAAUAACAGUCAAAACUCAAAAUACUCUAGUUCAUAUGUAUCAACCCUAGAUAACAAACCAAAAGAGCCAAAUAUUAUAGUCUUGUGCCCCUGUUAUGUCAAUUUGAUGAUUUGAGAAUCAUUACUUAUAUUUGUUACUAAUAUGAGCUCUAAUUAGAUAAUUAUAGUAAUUAUUAGUAUGUUAAAAGAAAUUAAGCUAUGCAUAAAAAAUAAAAAUGGAAUUUGAAAAUAUUUCAAUAAUGACAAUCAAAAUUCAAAGUACUUUAGAAUUAGUCUACAUCGACACAUUAUAGAAAUACUUAAAAUCAUAUGGUUCAUAAGCGACGAUCCUAUUUAACAACAACCAAAGAUAGUUGCACAUAAUGUUGUAGUUUUGCAUAUUUGCUAAUUAUUAUGUUUUAAAAAAUUAAACUACAUAUUUAAAUAAUUAAGUGAUAUCCCUAGUUAACAACAAGCUAAGAGUAUUACAAAAAAAAAACUAAGAGAAUGUUUACGCAUUAAUGUUAUAGUCUUGCGCCUAUAUAUUAUACUGAUUUGAUAACUUAUGAAUUAUUAUUGAUACUUGUUAUUAAUAUGAACUCUAAUUAAAUAAUUUAAUGAAUUAUUGUGUUUUAAACAAAUUUAAAUUAUAUAUUACUAUUUUUAAUAUAAUCUGAAAAUAUUACAAUAAAAACAAUCAAAACACAAAACACUUUAUAGAGAUCAAUAUAUUAUGAUUCAUAUUAUAACUUAUAAGUAUCAAUCCUAAUUAAUUACACUAAACAUUUGUAUACUAUAUAUGUUCAAUUAUAAAUAGACCCUCUAUAUUUUGAAAUCAAACAUUCACAUCUUCUAUAUUAUAAAAAUCAUACAAUUUUUUCCACCAAUAAUGUUAUUUCUAAUUUCCUAAAAAAAAUAUAAAUAUUGUAUAGAAUGAAUGUUCUACGUAAAUGAAAUUCUAUCUAACUAAUUAUAUAUACAUAAUUUUAAAGCAAGAAAAUAAAUAAAAGGAAAUUAUAUAUAAUAAAUAUUACAUUUAAAUAAAAUUAUAAAUAAUGUACGUAUUUAAAUUAAAAGAAAGUUAUUACUAACCGUUGAUAUAUCUUAUUAACUUUUAAUAAAUUAAAAGAAAGUUAUUACUAACCGUUGAUAUAUCUUAUUAACUAAUUUGUAUCACUUAACAUUUUAAAAAAAAUAGUAAAUUUUAAAUUAUUUUUAAACAGAGCCAGGAGAAUUUAAAAAAAAUAAGGUAAAGAAGUAGAAUGACGAAAAACGAGAAGAAAAAUGAAUUUGACGAAGAAACAAAACUGUUAAAUAUUUUAUUAGGUGGGAUUCAAAACAUUAAUCUUAUCAAAAUAAUAAAUGCUUUAUACAAUUUAUUAGAAAAGAGCAAGCCUUAAUUUUAUUUCUUUAUUUUGAAGGAAAAAAGUUAUAAUUGUCUUUUUAAAAUGGGCAAAUAUUGUUGGACAUUCUAAAAUAAUAUAUUCCCUCUGUCCCAAAUUACUCGUCCACUUUUGAAUUGACACACCUAUUAAGAAAAUAAUUAUUGACAUAGUAAAUUUACCAUUUUACCCCUAUUAAUUAUGAAGUAAAUGAAUUAAAAACUUAAGAUUUCAAGAAUUUCUACCUUUUUCAAAGUAAUUAAUUGAGGGUAUAAUAGGUAAAAAAAUUGUCCUUUCUUGAUUUGUUAAAAUGGAUAAAUAAUUAGGGGCAACUAAAAAAGGAAAUGUGGACAAGUAAUUAGAGACAAAGGAAAUAGUAAACAACUAUUACAAGACGGAGAGUAUUAAAGUUUACAGACAUUUCUUAUAUAUUCAACCCAUUAAACGAGUGGCAUUACUUCUUGCUCUUAAAAAAUCAGUCCCUAAUUUUAUGAAAAGAAAAGGAAGCAACAUAAUAAUGAAGACAAUAACAGUUCGAUAUGAAAUUAAAUACUAUUAAAUGAAAGACUCAGAAAAAUACAAAAAAGUUGACUGACUUGGAAGUGUGAUUUGUGAACAAGAGAUUAGGCUGGAAGGGGCCAAGAACUAGAACCAUCGUUUCUUAACUCAACUAACUUAAACAAGUUCCUACUCUCUUCCUUGAUUCUAAUUUACGUGACACACUUUUUUAAAUCUAUUUUUAAAUAAUUACGUGAGAAAUUUAAAAAUUUAAAUAAGACAGAGAGGUCAAAAUAAACACUAUAUUAGUAUUAGUUCCAUCCUUUUCUAUUCAAAUAUUUAACAUAAUUAGUCCUUUUAUCCUGUUUAGUCCGUCUUUAAAAAAUGACAUAUUUCUUUACUUAGUAAUAAUUUAACUUUAAAAUUUUUAUUUUAUUCUUAGUGAAAUAAUUUAUAGCAACACAAAUUUUUAUGACUUAUUUUAAACAAUAAAUUUUAAAUAUUCUUUUUUAAACUUUGUGUCAAGUCGAACUAAUUCAUAUAAUUUGGACGGAGGGAGUAUAUGUUGUCAAUUAUUUCGUUAUAGGAAUAAAAUUGUCAAUAGUGACAUGCUCUUGGACAUUGAUCAUUCACCUUCUUCGAAUUAUUGAGGCAACUCAUCCUCCUUGUAAGCAAGUUGUAUAAUUUCAAGAUUGCACAAGAUACUUCAUAUAAUAUUUUAAAUUGACUUGGUGUGACUUUAUCAUAAGUUGUUGGUCUAACUCUAUAAUAUAAAGAAAGUAAUGACUUGAUUUAUUAUAUUCAGAAUAAUAAAUACACCUCAUGAAUGUGAAAAGUAUGUAUAAAAAAGAUUUAAAGGGAUAUUUUUGUUAUUUACUUAUUUUAUUUCCGGAUAAAUUAUCUCGGAAUUACUAUAUCAUUUAAGGGGCCGGAGAAAUAAUUUAUUCAGGUACUAAUUAUUAUUCUCACUCUCUUUUAUUUAAAAAACUAGAUAAACAAUAGCACGUGCUAAGCACAUGCCCAACAUGUCGGGUUUUGAUGCAAAUUUUUCCACAAUUAUUUUUUGGGUAAUAGACUAAACUCAAUCAAAGGUCUCCGUACUAAUACAGUAGAACAUGACAUUUCUAUUUACAUGUGUGAAAUAAAUAAUCAUAGCAAAAACACUUAUGUACAUUGUCAUGCUAUGCAUAUAUAAUUCUUUUAUCUACCAUCUGUGCAUAAGCACAUUUGAAUUCAUCAUUUCUUAUGAUGAGUCAUACAACCUUUUUUCAUCCAAAAACCACCAUAUGGAGAAGUUUAACAUGAAUACCUACAAAAGGCAAGUAAAUAUCAAUCAACCAAAAUUUAUUUAAAUAGAUGUUUAGCUAUUAUAGAAGUAUUGUAACUCACACAAUAUUAUUUUUUCAACGAUGGAGAAAAAAGACCAAGUAUCUUACCAAUCACAAUACACACUUCUAAACAAUGUAAAAAAACCAAUAAGAACUCCAAAUGUUUAUUCAAAUUACCAACCAAAAAAAGUGAUCCAACUGUAGAAAGUGAGGUAUAUAAAAACUGACCAUUGACAACUCAAAAAAUGCUCAAAGCUUGCAGUAUAAACUUUUCAGUUUCUCUAUAAUCCAAGAAUUAGAAAGAAAAUGUCAAGUUUAAGCUUUAUGUAUGAUUAAGCUCCAUUUCAUGUUGCAUCUAUGAAUGUGAAUCAACUCUUUAAAACUUAUUGAAAGUACAAAAUAUAAAGAAAAUAGAGUUAUAAGAACUGAUGUUUCUUUUUCUUCAAAAGGUGAAUCGAUUUUUAGGCUAUUGCAAACUACCUUAAAGAUAUUGAAAUCUCAUUUUAGAUAUUUCAAACAUGGACACAAUUUAAUGAUGUAUGAAUAAGCAAGUCUCACCUCUGACCUUUCUUAUAGAUCAACUAAUGGACAUAAUUUGAUGGUGUAUGAAUAAACAAGUCUCACCUCUGACCUUUGUUAUAUAUCAACUAAUUUCUAGAGAAGUAACAAGUACAUGUCUCCAGACCUGUAAUCAACAAGCUAAUCAUUAGUUGCGCUCACUUUAUUAAAAUAGAAAUCUAUAUUAACUUCAUAUACCUCAAAAAAAAGAAAGAGAGCUUUGUAACAGAAAAUAACCAAAAUCAAAAAAUAUGAUACCGUCCACAAUUGAAAGGUUAGUACACUACAACCAACAACACUCUUGUAUAAAUUUAGACUAUGGCAUGUCAUCAUUGACAUAUCGAGACAAGAAAAAGGUUUAAAUUAAUGAAAGGGUUAACUGCAUGGAUAAAACGCUGCCAAAUAAAUGCCAACAAAAGUGUAAAUACCUUUCAUUCAUCUACUUCACAGAAAAAAACAAAAGAUAUGAAUCUUCUAUUCAAAUUGUUCCUUUUUGACAGGACGAGAAGAAAUAAGAAAUAUUUCAACUUGGAUAUUUUUAUAUAAUAAAUAAACACAAACGUCUCAAUGAGAUAUAUCCAUAACUAAAUAUGCAGUGUCAGAUCGUCAACAUAUAAAAAUUCUAGUAUAAUCAAAUUUUUGUAGCACACAAGUCAAUCAAAUUUUGAAUUAUACGUGUAAAUUAAGAACACUUGGAAUUCAAUUUCCACCAAAAUCACAUAUCUAAACUCUACACUUAUUAGCUAUCAGACUACACUAUUGCCAUUGGUUAAAGACAAACAAUUUUUGACAAAAACUAAAAUCAAAUACUUGGGAAAGUAGUCAUUAACAGUAACAAGUCAAAAAAACAGUAAAUUGAUGGAUCCAAAGUAGAAAAUGAGUUCGAUUACAGAAGUAACAACCAAAAGGGGUCAUGCCAGUCAGUAUAUAUUCAAAACUCAAGAGGUAUAGGAAGAGUAUAUUCUUAACAGUUUGGAAUUUGAGUUGAUCAGCAGAAAUAAAGAUUUCCCAUCUCAGAAAACGGGACAAACAAGUUUGGUUUGUGGUUGGACGAGAGGGUAAAAAACCAACAUAAACAAACCCAACCAUCUUUCAAUAUUGACCUAAAAUGUCUUUAAAAAGAUUGUCUUUGUAAAAAAAUUGUCAAAUCUAUUAAUAAUAUCUUCAAGAAAGUUUCGAUUUUUGUUUUUUUUUUCCCCAAGAUUUAUUUUAUAGUAGAAAUAGAUAAAUAGAGUAGUAAGCUAAAGAGGGAAAAAGAGUAAAGAAAAAGUGGUUUUUAAAGAUUAAAAUGGAGUAGCAAAGAAGACAAAAAGGGAUCAGCUAAGCUUGACCCUUACAGAUUCUAAAUGAAUCCCAGUUGUAUCCCUCAAAUUAUACUAUUUUUCAUUACUCCAACUUCAUAAUGAUUUAGUUCUAAGUUAAAAUUCCUUCUUUUUAUGAGUUUGGAAGAAGUUAAUUGAGUUAAUAAAGUAGUCUUUGAUCAAGAUGAGUACAAAACUAUUGAACAUAAAGGUACAACCUUUAACCAAACAACAAUUGUGUACGUUACUUGCUUCUUUUAUUUAUUUAUUUAUUUAUUUAUUUAUUUUUGCCGUGAUUGACUUGAGCUUGAGAUCUCUGGUUCGAUUCAUCAAUGUUGGUGUCUCAGUCACAAAUUAAUAUUGUCCUCCAAAUAAUACCCCAUAGUUUCUACUCAACUAUAUCCGUAGUAUGAAGAUUUUGAUUACUCGAUCAUUCUUAUAAAUCUCAAUAUGUUUGGCUAACUACGAUGGAAUAGAGUCAUUCUAAGUAGAUCCCUUCUUACGAUAUGUCAAAUAGAGCGGAGUCAAUCAUAUAAUAGCACCAACGAAAAUUUCAGCAUGAAAAAUUCCAAGAAGAUGAAAUGAACUUACUUGGCAAAGGAGCAUAUAUAUGAACUGGCCCUUGAAGAAUCUCCUUGCCAAUUUAUAAACAUAUAGUAAAUAGAAACCACAGCAAUGAUAUUGACUCCACCGGUGAUCAUAGCAGAAAAGUGAAGCAUCAACACCAAAACCAAUAGUCUUAAACAACACUGGUACAAAAUCAUAUUGAUUCCAGUAAGUUGCUGGAAAAAUGGGAUCAUAAUUUGCCAUUGUGAGAUGUGGCCUAUAUUUCUCUUGCAACAAAUUCCUCCAAGCUAAGGGCGUUCAAUUUUCCUAGAGGCCUCACUUGCCACAACUAAAUCAUUGAACUCUUCAUCUACAUCUUCAAUUCCCCUAAUUCUCUUUAAGCUUAGCUUUGGCUUCGUCAUAGUUGUCACGUUCAAUCAUGGAAUUUGGGGAGGAACAAUGUUCCUACUGUGAUGAUCAAUGCCGGUACCUCCUCAGCAUACCCCAUGAAUCUUAGCAAAGAAAUAGGCUACCAAUUGUGAUGGACAGUUGAAAAUCAAUGUUGAGUGCUCCUGUGGGGCCAUUUCAAAUAGGUGUAGUGGAACAGACUGCAAUACAAUGAAACAAAAACAGCAACAAAAAAAUGAAAUUAAUUAAAGGAAGAAGACAACAAAUAGUUAGUCCUCUGUAUCAGUUUUAAUUGUUUUUAGUCUGAUUAGAAAAAAAUACUUCUUCUACAAGAUUCAGAUAGUAUUUUAAGUAAUACAUUAUACACAUCUUUAAUUUAAGAUCGCAGCUCAACUCCAAACAGUUUGUUGGACUUGCAGUAUGUAGACCACAAAUUUGUUGUUAUAAAAAUCAGUAGAUCUCAAACACUUGAGGCAGUUGAACAAUAUGUUGAACCAAAAUUCACAUUUGUAUUGCUUAUAUAAAAAUAUCCAGCUAGCAUCUUUCUUCCAAACUCUUCAUCUAACUUCCAAGCUUGCUUCUUCUUUGUCUCAACAAUGUACAAUUUCAGAAAAAUUUAACACAAAGAAAUAAUUACAGAAAGGGGUCUAUUACCUCUAACGCGUGUGGCGUUGGAUACUUGAGAAAAUCUGGAGCUUCUUGUUCAUAAACUUCCUACAUCUUCAAAGCUGUAGAAUUGAUUGAAUGAGGUUUACUAAAGCGGCAAAGACUUUUGCAAUGUCUUUUUGCGCAUUACUGGUAAAAUAUAUCAACUUUAAGGGGGAAAUUUUUCAUCCCCCGAGACUUGAAUUGCAAGCUUGCAAUUUAUGGCACCAGGCUUUCACUAUUACGAUAUGCUCAAGAAACAACAAACAAAUAUAAUUGAUGCAUGCAAUAGUAAAUACUUAAUUUUUAGAAAACUAACCUGUGUAUGAUAAUUUUCUUUUAGUUCUUUCCCUCACAGAUAAGGAUAUUAUGCAGAUCAUCCAAGAACUAACAUAUCUUUUUCUUCUCCAAAAUAAAAGCUAUUUUGGCUUAAAGCACCUAAAAUAAGUCGAUCCAAACGGGCACUAAUCAGGUAUGAUUUACCUUAUAGAAAAGGAGUAAAAGAGAAUUUUACAAUUAUCCUCAACAGGUGCUAUAUGAUGAUUAAGUUUGAUUAUGAUUAAUCCAGAAUGAAAGCAAUUUACAGUUAUUUUCACAGCAAGCUUUUGUUAGAAAUAAAGGUUACUCAGGGGUUGUGUUUAAUUGAAAGGCAUGCAUUCCUUAGUGCCUUUAGUUUAGAGAAAAAAUUGUGUCCAAAUAGUACUUACCAAUAAUCAUCAUGACAACUAAUAUGUAGAACUAUAAAAUUAGUUACUUAAAUUAGGCCAAACGUUGCCUAAUCAUUCCAAGAGGCUGAUUUUUUUAUGUUUUAGGUAGGACUAAUACGAAUAUAAAGUAUAAUUAAUUAUUAUGAGUCAUCUUAGAAAAGGAAAUGCUGACUGUUUGAUACAAUUAUCAAUUUUUUCCAGAUGCAAUUGCCAUCUCUUUUGGUACUUCCAAAUUUUAGUUUAGCAUUGUGACUGAAAAACAAAUAUGAAUAUGAAAACUUACGACUAAAACAUAUGUCAUUUAGCACGGAUAAGUGAUAACAUACAUAUAUGUAGAGAUUGAAGAGAGGGACCUCAUCUGCCAGAUUGCUACAGGGUGGUGUUUUGCAAAUAACAUAUAGGAUACCCAUAUGUGUUUGGCUCAAGGAAAGGAGACAUAUCAUGAUUAUGCAAGACCACCAAGAGAAAAGUCGAAAUGAAAAGCAAUAUGUAAGAUUUAUUUUCUAAAAAGCACCUCAAUCAUGAUAGAAUGUUGUCCACCUUUGGUUGUCUGUAUGCACUGCAUAGAAAAUAAAAACGUGGACCUAAGAUUAUGUAAAUGCAAUCAUGCUUAUGUAAGCUUGAAGUGGAAAAUCCGUCCAUUUUCAGCUUAAUUAAGUUUUGUCAUAUUUUAUUAAAGGUGUGCUUUACACUUAUUGUUAGUUAUGUUACCAUAAUCACGUACGUUGAAUGGUUACUUUUCUCCAUAAUAUAGGCCGAUUAACAUCAACUUCUAAAGUUAAGUCGACACUUGGAAAAACCAAAUAAGAUAAUCGAUUAGUCAAAUGAGAAGAUUGUUAUAAGCUAGAUUGGGGGAUCGAUUCAUACCUCAUAUCGUAUUCUUCCAUCUUCUGUGGAGGCGCAGCCAGAAUUUCUACCUUUUAAGAAACCUAAGAGUAUUAAAAAUUCCAGGUUGCAUUAUAUAUAGGAUAAUAUAUUCUUAAGAUGUCAACUUAUAGGUACAAAAGACCAUUACUAUCUUUUUUAACAUAUAGUUACAUAAAAUAGAUGUAUUUUUCAAAUCAUGUAAGGUAGCAUCUAUUUUAAACGGCAGUAUGCAUAGGAGAGUGAGAACAUUAUAGAUAGCCUCUCUUUUAAUGAGAAAACAUUUGGUUUGUUUAAGUUUGCCAAUUUUGACAGUUCCAAGUAAAAAAGAAUUGCAAAAAAUUCAAAGUACAUAUGCAAUGUCUAGAGUGCAAUAAAGGCUUCUAAGGAACCAAGUAACCAUCAUUACAUUUGAAAAACUACAAGUUCAGAUUACCACUAAGUAAAUCAAAAGUUAAAAUAUAAGGUGUUUCCAACCUAGUCAUGGCACUGUUGACACCCAAUUUUGACCAUCCACACUAUAACUUAAUCAUCAAGCUUCUUCAAUUUUUAACGAUUUAAAAUAAUAAGUUUUAUAAUUCAAAAAUAAAAUAAAAUAAACAUAGUUUGCAAGUUAUUUUAAAUUAGUUUUGUCUACUUUUAAUAUAUAUAUAUAUAUAUAUAUAUAUAUGUUUUACAUAGUUAUGUAUAUAAUUAAUGCAUUUUAUGAAUAUUCAAAAAUCAUCUCAAAAAAGAUUUUAUAUUUUUAAAUACUUUAUUAGUAAGGGUCAUAAUUUUGAAUUAAUGAAUUUUAUGGAAUUCAAAAUACUUCAAGUUAUUUUUAGAGUAAUUUUAUCAUUUUUAAUAAUUUUAAAUAAUAAAUAUGUAUAUUUUACAAUCACGUGAUUUUAUAAAUAUUUGAAAAUCAUCACAAAGAUUUUACAUUUUUAGUGAAAUAUUUUAUUACUUUAAGUUAUAGUUUCGAGUUAAUUAGUUUGUCAUUAAAUUAAUUAUUUUUGUAAUAGAAAUAAUUAUUAUAUUUCGUUAAGAUUUAAAAACUCGUUAAUUAAUUAAUAUUAAUUCAUCUAAAUUAAACUCAAUAUGUUUACCUUUUAAAAGAUCUAACCCCUUUUCUUAGUUGGGCCAAAAUCAGCAGCCCACUUUUGCAUUUUUCAGCCCAUUUUUGCAUUUUUCAGCCCACUUCAGCAGCCCAUUAAAAUACAACAACAUAUAUCAACCCAUUAAUGCCUCCAAUUUCCAGCCAACAUUCACCAAGAACUCAGCCCAAAAACCCAUUCAUUUCAAUACCCAGCAACAAUAACAUACCAACAAUACCCCCACCCCUGUACCAGCGUCUUCCUCUAGCGAAGAACGUGACCAGACGCCAGACGAAAUCCCAGCGAAAAUCGCGCUGCAAACCCAAAAAUUUCGCCUAACUACCCUACAUAACCCAUACCCUAGCAGUCUCAAUGUCAACCUUCACGUCCUCUCUUUCCCCCCUUUUCACGGAAUACAACUUUUUUCCCAUGCCUUUUACUGUUGGUCUUGAAAAGAAGCAAAGAAAAUUUCAAAUUUUUCUUUCAAAAAUUCAACGGAUUUCCCCCCUAAUUUCCAUCUAUUUUAAUCAUUGUUGGGGGGGAGAUUUUUUUUUUUAGUUUGAGUUUUCCUCGGCAAAUAGUCGUUUUACGCUUAAAAUAUUAUACUUAGCUUUCGAAUUCGAAGUUCCGAGAAGAUAGUCACUCAAAUUUUCUUAAGUUUGUCGUUCGUAUUCGAAGAAAUCACUGCUUUCAAGCUCGCUUUGUUCUCAGUUUGCUGUCUCAAGAAAGGUAACCUCAUUUACCUUAACUCGUUUUAGCUGGUGUUUUAUUUCUAAUUAAAAGUUUACUGUUGAACUCUUGAGGUAAAUUUAUACUUUGGGCGUGGUUGAUCAAUAUUAUGUGUCCUCUUGCUUGAGCAUUCUGUUGAAAAAAUGGUAUUGAUUGAGUGCAUUAUAAUUAUUGUUCAUAUUGUUGACGAUUUGAGUUAUGUAAAACCAGUUAUUCAAUGGAAAAUAUUUUGACGUAAAGGGGGGGCUCACUUUUGUUUGUUUUAUUAGUCUAUGUUCAUACCCAAAUCUUCUUUGAGGGUUUUGGUGUUACUUUACCAAUUGAAGGCAUUCGAAUCUUACAGUGAUGUCUUUUCCAUGUAGGAUAUUUUUCUCUAAUCUCGUAUCUUAUUUUCUCACUCUGGAAUGAUAUUACUAUAAGCCAGAAUGCUUUAGAAUGAUAGCUUCUCUUUUGUUCAAAAUUACAAAGCUAUGUUCUCUGCAAAGUUUCAUUUCUUAAAUCUAGUUUUUUUUUUAUUGAGCAUGUUGCAAUAAGUUUCUCUGUACUGCAUUUCCAGCAUCUAUUUUUGUCUAUUCGGUUUAUUCUCUCCUUCUAUUAGUUGUAUAGUUCUUUACUUUCUUUAAAAAUGUCCUUGCGGGCUACUAUGGUUAAUUCUUGCUGUGAUGUGAAGUUAGACCGGCGAUAUUAAGUUGUAAAGGAUAAUAUUUUUCUCUUGAUUCAUGCUCAGUCAAAGUCUCUUUGUUUAGUUCGGGUGAUUCUCUAUGUAGCAAUUUGUGAUAUUUAGUUUGGUACCAACACUUCAUAAAUUUAUCAUUUCAUGUUUUACUUUAGAUUUUCCUGUCUAUUAUGGUGUAAGAAAUGUUCUAUUUAUAUAGAUACUUACUAAUAUAUUUGUUACUCAAUAGUUGCCGUAACUCAUAUAUAACAAUAAUAUUUCUUCAGUUUUUGCGUAUUUGUUUUAUAAUUGAUAGAUAGUAUUCUGCUUGCUCCAUUCCUUGCUAAUAAGUCACUAAGGUUAAUGUGUUUUUUUUUUCUAAAUUAGCAUUACUUGUUAGAUUCUUGUUUAAAUGUUGGUGCUUAAGUCAAGAUGUCAAACCUUGUUUAGUUUUGUUUGGUGAAUGUUUUCUUUAAAAAAAUGGAAUCAUAAGUGCAUUUGCUGAUAUAAUACUCCCGUAGGUAUAUGUUUUUAAAUUUAGUGGUUUGAGCAAAUCAUUGAUUAAGGUUGAGUGGAUAUAUUCUAUUUUAUAUAGUUUUCCUUAUGUUGCUUUUGGUUUUAUUGUUUUCCACUCAUGUGUUCAUGAUUUAUGCAUUGGUCUCUACAAAAAAAGCAUUUUUUUAUGUAAUUUUGAGUUGUUAUUAAUUCAUUACUCCUUUCUUUGUAUGCAUACUUGAGUUUAUUCAUUGACGCGCCUCCUUGCAUUAUAUUGGGCUAAUUAGCCCAACCUUCUACUCGAGUCGGCUUUCUUCCCUGUCUGAAUUUCGAAAGAUGAAACAGUUGAGAAAGGAGUUGCAUUACAAGUCCUAAAGGCUGAAAACAGGCUGAAAUACAUCAUGUAUACACUGAUAUACAUAUCAAUGCAGCAAAUACGUGACUAAAAAUGGGAAUACAGGUCGAAAAUGUGGGAAUACAUGGCUGAGGUGAAAUACAGGUGUUCGGAAGCAAGAGAUACACGAAAAGAGCUGAUAUACAUGCCGAUAUACACUGAUAUAUAUCAGUUGUAUACCAAAAAAGGGGUUUUGUUUAAACCCCAAAAAGUAGCAACGAAUUUGUUCCAAGAAAGGCCCGAAUUCAACUUCUCUCCGUUACUCCUAAAUUAUUUAAUUGCGAUUACUUAUUAUUUCUUGUUUAACUCUAACUUUAGAAUUUUUAAUUAACUUAAUUAGAUUCCCCAAAAGAUGAGUUAUUUUAUUUGUGUUGGUUUAAAUCUAAUAUAUUUUACGUUGUUGUGUUCACUUAUUUUAUUAAUCAAAUAUUGGUCGAAUUUUAAAUUUUAAUUAAGUAAAAUCUUUGUUCUUAAAAAGAUAUGUUUUAAGGCCGCUUCACUUGAUCACAUAUUAUUUUUAAAAUUGUUUAAGUUAAAGUAUUUUUCUCAAAUAAAUUUAAAAAAAAAAUGUUAGUCAAAACUCUUUUUUAAUUAAUUAAUAAAUAAAUAAAUACUUACUCAAUCAUUUGCUCAAAAGUUAGUCAAAACUUUUAUUCUUCAAUUAAUUUAAAAUGAUUUACAUGCUUUAAUGUGUUAAAAUGGUUUAAUUUAUUUUAAAAUGAACUAAAUAAAUUCUAAUUAGUCUAGUUUUAUUAAUUUUCUAAAUCACUUGCACCCUAAUUCAAAUGUUUUCAUUUUAGGUUUCUUCCUCUAAAAAGAUAGAAUAAAAUGGUUCAUUUCUUAAUUAUUUUCUCAAACUUAAUCGAAUAGCGUAAAUUAUUAUAUAUUUUUUUAUGUUAAAAUAGUUUUUCUAAAAAAUAGUCAAAUACAUUUUAGUCAAGCCAUAUGUCAAUCGCAUGUUAGCGGACACUUCGAAUGCUUAAACUUUUCUCAAAGUGUAAAUUGAACCCCGAACCUUCUUUCGUAUUUUCAAAUGAUUUUUUCUGUUUAAAUUUUUGAAAAUUAUAAGUUUUCUUAAUUUCUUUAAAAAAUUAAGUACCGACUCUUUCUAAGUAUUUUUCUCAAAUUGUUUUAUACUUAGAAUAUCUCAAAAAGUGAUUUUCCUAAGGCUAGCAAAAUUACGGCACAACAGAAAUGGCGACUCCGCUGGGGAGUUAAUUAAGUUCUAACCAAAAGAUUUGACUAUUUGACUAAUUAUUACUAAUUGCUGAAUUAUUUAUUUGUACUUAAUAUGCUUAAAUUGCUAUAAACUGUUGCUUUCAUGGGAUAACAUAUUCCGUCAAACGACGCUUAUUUUCUAAUUUUCACUCUAAGGACGAUUAUGCAGGCCGCAAUCGUUCGUUAACCAAAUUGUUCUCGGGGCACCCUGACAAAUGUAGUUGGCUACUGGAUAGUCAACGGUCGUUAAUUGUCCCAGCCCAAGUAGUAUGCUUGGGUCACCAAUCCACUUUAAAGAAAACUCAAUCUUAGUCAUACUAGUAUAGAGCAAGACCAAAUCCCUGAAAUUUAGCGCAUUGGCCUAAGAUGACCCAAUAUCCAAGGCGUGUCGGGUCCAUUAGAAAGACUACCUUGAGUUCAAAAGGCCCACGGCCCGAACAGACGCUCAUACUUACGUGUUUGAAGGAUAUAUGUGUUAUUUGACAAAAUGUUGUGUCUUGGGUUUAAGGGGUAUCUAAUUAUUUGUAUGUUUUUGAAGAUAACUAAGCAACACUUGAGUUUCAAAAUGGUCACCGAGAAGCCAAACCUUCUCCGUGUGUGGUGGUACAAUCUCAAUGCAUAUCAGAAAAGAGAACUUUCCAUUCACUUAGGUCACCUUCCGUCGAUAAUGAAUCUCAAAGUCUGGCCUAAGUUCAUUGAGGUGGUCACUCGAUUUUGAGAUGGUGAGAGGAUGGUGUUUCGCUUCGGUGAUGUUGAAAUGACACCAACUGUUGAACAAAUCAAAGAUUGCCUAGAAAACGUCGAAAUGUGCCAGAAAAGGAAAAAUUAUCCAGAUCAUCACAUUUUGCUACCAGAUAAGCCAACCAGCACAGAACUGAAAAACAUGUUGUUAUUGAUAAAUGCAGACUGACUAGACACCCCGAGUAUUCCAUUUGUGAAAUUCUAUGAACGAUGGGGUCGCGAGAGUUAUUAUAAGAAUUUUCCAAAUGAGUUUCACAGCCACAAUAGUUAGAGUCAAACUCAAACUCUAUUAUUUGUCGUAUGCUUCUUAGGGACGAUGCUAUUCCCUCAAGCCGAAGGGAAUGAAAUUGAUACUCGGGUUGUCAUGGUUACACACGUCAUCUUCGAGGGCGUUAGUAAGAAAGGACGAGUUAAGAAAUACUUCAACCUAGCCCCGAUCAUUCUGGCCGACAUCUACCGAUCUUUGGGUCAAUGCAAAAAUGGGUUUCCAUUUUUUCAAGUUUGUAAUAUUUUGCUACAGUGGUGGAUAUCUAAACAUCUAAUGAAGACAUACGAGACUCAGAAACAGAAAUAGGCCGAACCACAAAAAGAAAGCCACCUUGACCAUUACGAGUUUCAUUUGAGCCUCAACAGGUUCAAAAUCCACAGCACUAGGAAAGCUUGGGCCAAAGUCUUCCACGACAUAAAAGAUGGAAACGUACAAUGGAUGUUUCAAGAUUUCAUGUCAGAAAAAAUAGCUAUUCAGGGGGCUAAAUGUCAUUUCCUAAUCCUUCCUGGCAUUAGAAGGGUACGACCUUACAAUCCUAAUAGGGUAAUGCGGCAAUUCGACAGAAGACAGAUUCUACCUUUCAAAUGAGACACUAGCCGCUACGUCUUUGACUACAACGGGUGUGACAAGAUACCUCACGCCAAUGAUAUUUGUCAAGAAUGGGCUAGAUGAGUCAACCUAAAAGAGAGCAUGGUAGAAACUAGAUAUGAAGUCGGGUAUGUGGAUGAAUACAAAAAAUGGUUGCAGGAUGAUUUGCGUGAUACACUUGACCCGACGCCACGCACGGGCCAACAGAUUGAAGAUGUCCAGGUAAGGCUCCAAAUCCAAGCCUACAAUUUUCAACAGGAAUGAGAUCGAAGAGAGCAAGAGUUUCGGCGUAAGGAGCAAGAAUACCUGCAUAGGGAACAAGAGUUCCAGCAUCGAGAAUAUGAAAGUCAAAGAGCAUUAGCCUUUGCCACGCAAGAGUUAGCUGACGCGAGAGCCUGCCUGAUACGUUUGGACUUGAACUUGGAUGAUCAGCUUAACACCCUCCAGGGCAUGUCGAUGUCUUCCAAAGCUGUGUUCGCUGAGCCGCAUGUGAUAACGAGCAAGUUCCUCAUUCGUGAAGAAGUGGAAAAAGUGAGAGGAGGAGCAGGCCCUUCAGCAUUUUAGUUAUCUUAUUCCCUUGUGUGGGACUAAUAUUUUUGUAUUUGCAGUUUAUCCCUUUCCUAAAAGAUGUAUCCCUUUGCUUAGCUUUGUAACGAAUUCUCUAUUGUUUAUGAAUCUUAUUUCGGGGGAUGCAACAAUGUGUUUUAAAAAGGCGCAAUACAUCAUUCAAAUCGCUAGGCCUACCCUGGUCAUAAAAGGGUCACAUGCAUGUUUAUGACACGAUAUUUGUGUGACUUAACUGUUUAUGUGAUAUGUUGCUUUAAAUAAGGACAUUUUUAACCCACUCCUUUUCAAAAUUUUCUGAAAAUCUCCACAAAUACAAGUCACUACCAAAAUUCUAUGAGUUUUGAGUUUCUCAGCCAAAAACAAAUCCCACUCUAUCAUCUCAUGAAAGGUAAAAUUGCAGCUAAGAUGGAAAAAGGCAAGAGUAUCGAUGUAAAGCUGACUGAAGAGGAUUUGAGGAUGGAAUUGCAGCGGCUCAGACAGGAGAUUCAAGAAACCAGAGAAAUGAGAAUAGAAGUGGUCGGUUAAAAUUGGAUUCGUCAAUUUCAUUUUCCUCGAAUUUCUUUCAUCAAUCCAAGUCAAACGAAGGACAAUUAUUGACAUCCAAUUUUGGACCUCCACAAUAUAAACUAAUCAUCGAACUUCCUAAAUUCUAAAUGAUUUGAAAUAAUUGGCUUUAUAAAAUUAAAAAUAAUUUCAAGUCAUUUUAAGUAGUUUUGUCAUUGUUAUAAAUUUUAAAAUAAUAAAUGUGAUAUUUUAUAUAAUUAUGUGUCUAAUUAGUAUAUUUUAUGAAUGUUCAAAAAUUGUCUCAAAAGGAUUUUAGUCUUAUUUAAAUAUUUGGUUAUUUAAUUUAAGUUAAUUAAUAGCUUAUAUUUUGAGUUAAUUAGUUUAUAAUUAAGUUAAUUAUUAUAUAAUUAUGUGUCUAAUUAGUAUAUUCUAUGAAUAUUCGAAAAUUGUCUCAAAAGGAUUUUACCUUUAUUUUAUUUGAUUAUUUAGUCGUUUACAGUGUUAAAUUAAUUAGUUUAUAAUUAAGUUAAUUAUUUUAUUUUAUUAAGAUUUAAGAAGCUCGUUAAUUAAUUAAUAUCAAUUUGUCUUAUUUAAUUACUAGCCGAAUCUAUCUCAACUAAAUCAAAUUGGCUAAGAUUUUCCUAAUCCCCUUACAACCAAACCGACCCCACCCUUUAUUCUUUUUCUAGCCAAUUCCCUCUCCCUUCACAUUAACAAUACAAUACAUACAUGUACCAACCGACCCAUUCCAAUAAAAUAAUAACAACAACAGCAUACACCAAACUGACCCCACUCCUUUUUCCCUUUUAAUUUCUAACAUACAAUACAUACAAUUCCAAACAUUCAUACAUAUAAUACAGCAAACAAAUCAAACCGACCCCACUCGUGUUCUCCUUCUUCUUCAUCAAAGACCAAAACGUUAAAGCAGCAACAUCUGUGUAUAGCAGCAACGUAGCUCACAGCAGUAGCAGCACACGCAACGCCCAAACGACCCAUACGUGAUUUCUUUUUUUUCACGCGUCAAAAUAGACGGAAAACUGCCAAUGUCUUCAUCAACAGUGUAGCAAAACUUGCAAUUACAUCCUGUAGCAGCUGCGAAAAAUCACCCUUGACUCGCGUGGAUGGGCGCCACGUCGAGCACAAGGGCGGUGGGUUCGAUCUAAGCCGUCCACGUUGAUCCUUUCAUCCAGAUUUCAUGGGAUUUGGGGUGAAAUCUCGUGCAAAUCCAACUACCCCCUAUUCUGGAUUUUUGAAUUUUGAAACCGAAGGAGAAUUCCAUUUUUUGACCUUUGUUCCAAUCCGAUUUUCAUCCCGUGAACUCCCCUAUAAAUACCCUUCAUCUUCAUUGUUAAAAGGGUUGGAAAUUUUUAACUAAGGAAAACAUAAUACUUUAAGGAAGAAUAGCCAAAAUACAUUCUAAAUACUCUAAAAAAAACAGAGAGAUUUUCUUAUUCGUUGAUUUGUGUCCGAGUUUUGUGGAAGAAGUCACGUUCCCCUGCUCGUCUCCCAUGUUCGCUACCCGGAGAAAGGUAGCUUUUUAUCCUUCGUAACUUUCUUUUGCCUCUUCCUUCUAUUCGAAAUGAUAUCGUGAUGUUUGAAAUUUAUAUUUUUGGGUUGCUGGUUGUUGGCUGCUAUUAAAUUGAUGUUGCUUGUGUGAUAUAUCCAUUCUUGUAUGAUCCCGUUAGUUAGUCGAGUCAAAGUUAGUGAGUUUGCAUCUAAGUGUUGAUGUUUCCAGUCUAUUAGAUGUGACCAUUCUUUUCCUCCGUUUUCUUUAAAUUUUCGUGAUUAUGUAGCAAUUAUCUUGUCAUGUUUGAACUAGUUUUGAUGUUAAGAUUGCAUAUUUGAAAUUCCAUUGUGUUGAACUUUUCAUGAUUUACUAAUCAGUGACCUUCAUAUGAUUUGCAAUCAGUUUAAGUACGGUAUGAAAUUAGUAUAUUGAUUUUUCAUAUUCGAUAAAGUUUCCUAUGUGUAGUUAAAAUAAUAGCAUGUUAUUGUUAAUAUUCUUCAUCUGUCACGCUUGGCUAUGAGUUUAUUCCAUCGUUGUCACUGCUUCUUUUGUUGGAAAGCUCCAAACUCUAUUGCUUUUAAUUAUUUAGUCCUAAUAUGCUUUUAGAUGAUAUAACAUAUGUCAAAAUAUGGUUAAUGUCUACAGUAUUUCUUUUGUUAAAACUGAAGCUGAAAAAAUAUAAUAAUAAUAAUAAUAAUAAAUAAACAAGUGGUAAGAGCGAGAUGAGUAAUUUUCAUAUUUGGGAGCUUGUUAUUCUGGAAAUGGACAUAUGUGUAUGUAGGCGUGCAUGAGUUUGUUAGUUAUAAUUGCACAUGAUUAUGAAAUAAGCAUGGUCUGUUGACUUCUCUUUAUAUAUAGUAGAAUAAUAAUGGAGUGUAGGGUAUAACUUCCGUUUUACUUAAAAAAUACAUGUUGUGUGAAGCGUGAUAUUUUACAAAUCUCAUUGUGCUCUCAUAAUUAUUUUCUGUCAAUUGAUUGCUAUGUUAUUUAAUUUCAAUUUAUUCAUUUUGUUUUAUUAAGUACUAGAAGAGUGAGUAAAGAUUUGGAUAUCGACAUGUGUGAUUACUGUAAUUAUCUAUUUUUUAUGAUGUUUGUAUUUUCAUUAAGUGUUGCUUUAGGCGUUAAUCCUUUCAUAUUUUUACAAAUAAUCUCUCUUUGGUUCUAAUUUCCAUGGCACCUCUUGAAUUGGUUAAUUUUAAAUAAAUUUUGGCAUAAAAUUUGUAAUAAUGAUAAUAGGAAAAUUUACGUAUUUGAAAACUACGCAAAAUAAAAUAAAAAUAUUGCAAGUUAUAAUAAUAAACCACUCUAAAAUAUAUAAAAUGCAUUUUGACUAACCGUUUAGAGUGUAUUUUUCCAUCUAAAUAGUACUUUUUAGAUAGGUUUUGAAUAUCUAUGUUUUAAAUUUAAAUAUUAAUAUUUUAAUCUGAUUUAAUUUCAAAAAUUUAUGACAAGCAUUUGAAAUGAAGGGAGUAGUGAAUUACCUCCUUAUUUAAACUACGUGACUAUUUUUCGAAAACUAUGUACUUUAAUUUUUAAAAAGUCUAUUGGACUUAAUCAUAUUGAUUUAUAGUUAACCUGCUUACCUUUAUAUUGUGAUAUACAUACUCCAAUCACAUAUAAAAAUAUUAUUAGUAUAAGAGGCAAUUGCAAAUAAUUCAGAGCAUCAAAUUAUGAUAAUAAGUUCUUUUUUAAAAAUAAAUAAAUAAAUAAAUAAUAAUAAUAAUAAAAAUAAAUUAAAUGUGAAUAGAGAUAGGGAAUAAAAGAAACCUCUAUUAAUGGAAGCAAAUUGAACCCUUCAUUUCAAUUAUAAAAGAUAGUGAUCAAUCCUUUAGUUUAUACUCUUCUAUGUUAUUAAAUUAACAUAUAUUUUUAUGUAGGACCCGUGCUUGCACGGGUUUGCCGUCGUCUAGUACUUGAAAUAUGUUUAAGUAUGUGCCCUUGGAUACAUUACUGUUUACUAUUUUAUAAUCGAUGAAUCAUGUUAUCGUUUAGAGCUAAGGUGUGAAAGAUCUUAUUAAUAUUGUAUACUAAUUUUUUUUCAUUUUCUUGUUGCAUGUGAAAUCUGCCUGAGUCCUCAUGGAUUCUAUCCUUGCAUUUUCUCAUAGGGCCACAAAGGCCCAAUCCUUUAUUUGAGUCUACCGACCAUUUAAAAUCGACGUACAGGUGUUCGGAGCAGAUACACGAGAUUUGUAUACACUAGUACACAUCUAGUGUAUACGAAAGAGGGAAAUAGGCCUAAAGGACCCAAAUUCCGCACAAAAAAGUUGUAUUUUGUUAUUUUGAGCCUAAGCCCUUGUCCUUUUAAUUGCUAUUAUAGUGUUAGUUUAGGACAGGUACAAGCGAUUCAAAUGGGUCAAAGACCCAAAAUGAAAAUGAGCCCAAAUACUGGCCUAGACAGAUAGGAAAACCAGAUUUGGGACCAAAUCUCUAUCUCUCUUUGCUUUAUUGUGUUUGUUUACUUGUUAAUAUUUGUUGUUAAGCUUAAGGUCGAAAAAUUCAAAUCCCCGAAAGACACCUAUUUCGAAUUAAUUACUUAACUAAAUUAUUCAUCUUUUACUCAACUUAAAAAAUAAAAUAAACAAAUAAGUUUACAAAAUAUUUCGCUUAGAUAUAUUUCAAUAUUUUCCCCUUAAAAUGGUCUUAACUACAAAAUAGUUCAAUUUUGCAAUUCAAGCUAAGUUAAGAUUAUUUUUAGCCAAAUAAUUAAUCGCCGGAUAAUUGCGUAUUAGUGGGCAUUUUGGGUGCUUUAAACCCCUUCCCAAAAUGCUAAUAAGAACCUCAAACCCUUUGUAUAUUUUCAAUUGAUUUUUGUUUAAUCUGUUGAAAAAAUCGAUUUUCUUAAUUUCACCUUAAAAAUUAAGUGGUGACUCUUAAACCAGUCAAAUCUAUCAUUUUUAAACAAAAUGGGCACUACUACAAAAAAAACUUUUUAACAGCUAAAAAAACCUUAUAUUUUGUUGAUAAAUAUUUAUUUGUUGCAGUGGCUAGAAACACUAUAACAAAUUUCUUGAUUAUUUAUAACGUUUGGCUAAGCAAUCUCUUGAUAAAUAAUAACGAAAUUUAUUGAUGAUUUUCGAUUGUCAAACAAUUUCUUAGUCAACCAUGAUAAAUGCCGGAACACACAGUUCUUUGAACAAGUGAAACAGUUUCUUCUUCUCUUUGUUACGAUAACAAACUUCUCCAAAGCCACUACAUUCUUUUGUAGAAACUUCAAAGGUUCAAAAAGUUUACAAAACUCUGCUUCAAACCACACCUUCAAACGUGAUAUUAGGUAGCCGACAAUCUUAACAUUCUUGAGAUUGGAAAACAGUGUUUGAAAUCCAACUCGGCAAAUUGAUGUUAUAUAUCAACUUCGGCAAAAUAUAUAUCCUAGCUCAAGCUGGCAGGGGAUAGUAAAACUCAACUUUGAUGUGUAUGUUGAGUGACUCUAAAAGAGGCGAGGUUCGCAAAAGGCUGGCUAUUUCAUACAUAUUUUCCUUUUUUACAUGCAUUUACAGAGUUAGACAUUUGCAUUUCAAUUCUGGAAGCAUCACUUCGUCAAGUACUCAAGUUUCAUCAUGAACACAAUCUCUGAAAAUCAUCGUCCAAUUAUUAGCUCGGUUGCGUAUCUCAACUUUUAAAGGUAGUCCAAAAUAAGGUUUCCGAUAGCUUAGAAAGGUUGGAGAUCACCUUAAAGUCAUGAACUAUAUCUAUAUGUAUAGUUGACUGAGCCAAAAUGAAAAAUCUCAAGGAAACUUUCGCAUCCUCCCCACAAUACAAAAAUAAGUGUAUAUUAUGUAUUAUUAAAUAAGUUGCUUGUAAAAUUUUAAAAUAUCAUAAGAUCAAGAUCCAAUAUUAAGUAUUUAGAGUUCUUUACACAUCCAUGGAUAUAAAAAUCAUUUAUCACCUCUAUGCAACCCUAAGAAGCGUAAAAGAGAAAGAGAAGGAGUUAGAUAAGAAUAUAAGAUGAAAGAAUAUCGAGAAGUAGAAAGAACAUACCAAAAGACAAAACUACCCUCACUUUUUUAUUUUAAUAUCAAAAUUAGAAAUAUGUCCAACUUUUAUUGCAUAAUGUACAAUAAAGUUAAGUUGUGGUCGUCCUAACCUUUCAUGCUUCUAUAUAGUAGUAAAAAUAUAUAUUAAUCUCACUCAUUCCAAACUUGUCAACCCAACAACAAAUUAAGUGGCACUAUAACUUAAUCUCAAAACUAUUUGAUGUUAUCCUUUACACCAAACGACCCUUUAAGAAUGUACACAUAUUCUCAACACUUCGAUUCUUCUAUUUUUAUCUCCUUAUUUAUUUUCCUUUAAGCAUCAAAGCCCAUAAAAUGAGGGUAAUUAGCAUGACUAUUUUUUUUCUUUUUUUAUGUUACUAGCCUAAAACACAUCUACACUGGAGUAUUGGUUUUGUUGCGAUUUCACAUUUUAACUAUUAGUUAUUUCAUUCUUGUCUUAAAUUCUGAACUAUCACCAUCUAUAUAUUAAAAUAUAUUUGAAUUAUCAAUUAUUUUCUUUUUCUAUUUGAAAUAUUAUGACUGCAGUGUUAGAAUAGAAAAAUAUAACAACUGAUAGUUCAGAUAUGCUUUAAUACAUAAAUAAUACUUGUUCACGAAAAAAUAAUAAUUUAGAUAUGUGUCUUAUGCCGUUAUCGUUUUUUUUUUUUUGGUUGUUGUUGUCAUUCUAAUACCUUAGCAGUUACUAUUUUUAAUUAUCUUUGUAAUACCCAUGUGAUACUGUUUUGAAUUUUGAUUGUAUUGACGUGCUCUUAAAAAUUGGGCAGCAAAAGGUAGUUGUCAGAUUAUCUUUGAAUGGAAAUUAUCAGAAAUAUCGGUCCAAGGCCUUCAAGGUUACUAUUUAUAUUUCCCUUUGCCAUGUGUAAAAGAUGUUAGUGUGACAUUUUAAUAUUCUAAAAUAUAUUAAAUUUUGCAAUAUUUUGCAUAGUCACACAAAUAUUGAUUUCUGGCCGUUGGUUGACUUCUCACUUUUCAUAGGUUACAAAAUGUUGGAUGUAAUAACAAUCAUAAUUGUUGCAUUACUCCAAAUGGAGUUAGUGCAUAUGUUACAAACUUUUUGGUGCAGCAGCAAGCCGUUGGUGGCUUAGUGAUUCAUUAUUCCAUUCUUUACUCCUUCAUUAUCCAUGUAACCUAUGUAACUCCUAAGGCUAUUAUCUUCACUAUUUACUACACCAUUAUCUUCCUAUUCAUUGCUAGGAAGACUUCUUCUAGUAUAAAUAGUGGUGAUCUUCAUUUGGUUUGUGACACACAAUACAACAAGAAAAUAUAGAGUGUAUAAGGUUUGUCAAAAAGAGAGUUCUUAUUAGUUGAAAGGAGGUGUUCUUUUUUGUGGAGCUUUGGACUCAACUCUUGUCCAGAGUUGUUGAGUUAUAUUUUGUGAUUAGGCUGUUGUAUCCUGGAGGGGAAGGUUGCAAAAGGUUUUAAACAACUAGAAGGCCUAGAAUUGGACCGGUGAAAAUAUUUGCUGCAGUGGGCUUGAAUCUCCUUAAAGAGAGCGAGAUAUCCGCGCCUCAACCUGAAGAGUAUUUAUUUCUUCUAUUUUUAUUUUCAAUUGUAAUCUUGUAUUUUUGUUAUCUUGCAAGUUUUUCACUAACAAAAGAUGUUUAGUCGUGUAAAAAUCUUUGAUACAUUUUUGUAUAAGUUAAAGUCAAUUUAUUUCAAAUACCAAUAUUUUCUAGACUACCAAGUUAGAUAUUACUAAAUGUGAUAGUAAUAUUUUUGAAGGUUUUAACCCAAAAAAAAAAAAAUUGUUGAGCAGGAAAUUUCCCCUAAAAAUUCAACUUAUCAUCAUGUGAUGUGUUACAUUGUUUCAUUUCUUUAUAAAAAUCAAUGCAAAAAACUUAUUCACAUCGAUACAUCCAAUAUUUUCUAUAUAUUUAAGUCGAGUGUUUUUAUUUGAUGUACAAAACAAUAUAUAUGACGACGAUUUGAGUAUAGGAGUCUAAAUUUUUAAAAAAAUUCAAACUUUUAGCGUCUACAUAUAUAUGAUGAAGAGGUGGUGGGUGGAUUGCCAUACACGCAAAGCCCACGGUUUGAUUUGAUAAGCUCGUGGACUUAAUUUAGCGAUUUGUGAUUACUUUUCUCUUCCUAAUUACAUUGCACAAGUCAUUAAUAAUUAUAUCCUACAACUUAUAUUGGGAGCGUCACUCCUGAAUGAGCUCUGCAAUGUAUGAUUUAAAAAAUUUAAUCAAAAUUUUAAUGUGAGUUUCGGACACUGGACGGAAAAAAAAAACAUCCUCCACGACCUCCCAAUAGUUUCGAAGAUACUUCAUAUUUAAUUUAUUAAAUUAACUUAAAUUGGUCGACAAAAAAAAGAACAUUAUUUUCCAUCUGAACACUUCUCUAGAAUACUUUACAUAGAAGAAGUAUAUUUAUUUUAUGUGAGCCCUUCGGUCUUUUUAUUUGUUUUUUUAAAAAAAAUUUAAAAAAUAAAUGACAAGCCUCCCUCAUUGCUUAAUACUUUCGUUUAAAUUAUAAAAUAAAUAUAAAGGCAUAAUAACCUAAUAAGCUUAACCAUGAUUAAAUACUUUGUCUUUCAUCCAGAAUCAUUUAACAAAAAAAAUGCUAUGUAGGGUGCCAUGUACGUAGGACGAAUGUGUCUAUUUGUUUAAUUUUAUGCAAGUUUAAGUGUCUACUUAUGCACAUCCAAAGUUAAAGAUCAUAGUUAUUAGCUAGCGUCAAGUUAAGGAUCAUAUUUAUAUAUUAUGCCAAAUUUAGCUUGUCCAUUACAUAUUAAUAUGACGAUAUGAUUAAGUCAUAUACAUGACGUAUAUAAGUUGAGUAUAAUUUAUUAUGUCGUAGUUUCCAGGGUUUGAUAGGAUGACUUUCCUAAUUUUUGUGGUGUUGAAUCUCCGUAAUUCACAAUUUUCCUCAAAUAUAACUAACAAAGCUUAUUUAAUUAAUUAUUUGACAGAUUAAAACGGCUCAAGACUACAUAUGAAGAAAAUUCUUUGAACUUAUCCAAAAUAUAAUGGAUCAUUUUUGUCAUUUUCUCUUUGUCAUUUUUGUCUAGCCAUUUUUUUUUUGGGUCUUAAAUACGUGUUUUUUUUCAUCUAUAAAUACUCCAAAUUUAAAAAUUGUCGAUCUCCAAGCCAAUUUCUCAUCAUUUCAAGAAUUAUAAAUCUUUCCCUACUAAAUUAGGACUAUAUUGUAAAACAAGUUUUCCACCAAGGACUAGCAAAAAUGAAAGUAUGCAUGUCUUAAUUUUUAAGUAUACUUAAUUUAGUCUAAGUCUUAAUUAAUUAGCUCUAUAACAUAUUGCAUUACUUUAUUUCUUAUAUUUGUGGUAUUAGUUGAAUUGUGAUUACUUACAUAGAUUCAUAAUUAAAUUGGACAGCAAAGGGCGUUUAUCAAAUUAUUCAUUGAUAGGAAUAAUCGGAAAUCUCGGACAAAGGCCUUCAAAAUUGCUGUUUCUCAACCAGGUAUUUAUUCGUCUCCGUUCAGUUUCUUGAUUUUAACUAUUCAAAUCUAAAACUUGUGAAACUCAUUUUCUUAUAUGUUUUAUCGUGGGUGAAUAAACUAAAUUAGCUCAUAAAAAUAUGAUACACGUCAUCAUAUCCAGGUUUAGGCAAGUUGAGGCGCAGAUCGAUUGUUGAGCUUGAAUUGGGCCAAAUAUUUAAUACAAGUAGCAAAAUGUUUGGACAAAAAUUAUUUUUGAUAUACCUUAGGUAUCCCCAUGUCAAAGAUAUAUUAAGUUUUAUAUAAUACAUAAACAUAAACAUGAUCCUUAACUUGGCUUCAACGGACAACUAUGCCCUCUAACUUUGAGUAUGCACAAGUAGGCACUUAAACUUGUAUAAAAUUUAACAAGUAGACACACGUGUCCUACAUGGCACCCUAUAUGAAAAUUUUGUGUCCUACGUGGCGUCCUACAUGUAUUAUGCUGUUUAGGACAUGUGUGUCUACUUAUUCAAUUUUAUACAAGUUUAAGUGCCUACUUGUGCAUACCUAAAGUUGGAGGGCAUAGUUGUCCGCUGAAGCCUAAUUAAGGGCUAUGUUUAUGUAUUAUGCCAUUUUUAUUCUUUUGAUAAAUACCACCUAUUUGUUUAUCAUAUUUUGAUCCAGUUCAUUUCAAUUUACAUAACUAGAAAAAUUAAUAAGAACCCAUCCAUUUAUUAAUUUUGUUCAUAUAGAGCAUUUCAAAUUCAGUACAACUCGUCCAUUUAAUAUCAUCGUGAUCUUAUUGGUGUAUGCUUUUACAUAUAUAGGGGUGGAAUCAGCAGCUAUAAAGGAAGGUGAAGAUUUCCAAUUAGAAGUAGUGGGAGACAUUGACGCAGUAGAUCUUACGAACUGCCUCAGGAAGAAAUUGGGCCACGCUCAGCUACUGAGCGUUGGCCCUGUUGUCGUUGUUACUGAUAGUGACAACGACAACGACAACGACAACUUGGGAGGGGGUACAGGUUUCGAUGCAAAUCCGCAACCCCAUAGUUACCCAUAUUUUGGCGUACCUCAAUACCAAGUUUAUGAAGUUAGCGACCCGAACCCGGAAUGUUGCUCCAUUAUGUGAAAUGUUAAUUACUUGGAUUAUAUUGCAUGAAAUGUAACGGUCUAUAUGUCGGAGCAAAUUAAUCAAUCGAUGAUUGGCUGUUUUGAUUUCUAUUUUACAAGUUUUUGUUUCGAGAGAAAUAUUGAAAACACCCCUAAACUCGAUCUGAAUUAUUUGUUUCAUUUUCGAACUAUCGACAAUCUUAAAAAUACUCAUUUACUUGACUAACUGAACUUAAAUACACCCCUAUCUUGCAACAUAAUGAAACACACACCCUAAAUUCUCGCUAAGGUUAGGGGUGUUUUCAACACCUCUCUCGGCUCUUUAUUAAGAGUUUCAUGCUUUUACAAGAGUUUGAGACCACUUGUUAUGUCGUGUGUCAGAUUGAGUGUGUAUCUAAGUUUAGAUAGUCAAAUCGAAGGGUGUUUUCAAGGCGUUUAGUAGUUUAGGAAUAAAACUAAUAAUUUGCAUCAAGUUGAGUAGUAUUUUCAAUACUUUAUCUCUUCUAUUUUUGUUCAUUUUUGGAUGAUCAUUUAUAGUGUUAAAUUUUUUGGAAAUAGUCUACGAUCAUACUUCUGCUAAAUUAAAGAAAAUGUUAAUACUUUAAUUUAAAGUAUAUUGGUGCUUUAAUAAUGCAUGCUUGUUAAACAUGAUUAAUUUGAUGUUGAGGUUUUUUGUUUUAACAUGUGGGUUGGAUUUUAAAGGCAUCGUUUGGAGAUGUAUAUGAAAUCAUGAAACGAAAUCAAAUUGAUCUGAUAUGAAGUUUUCUUUGAACAUGUAAUUUGAAUUUCUUAAGUUAUAUUUUUUUUCACAAACAUAAAAGUACCCAACAAGCUGUGAACUAUCAAAAUUUUCUCAAUUCUUAUAUAAUCUUACCAAGUAAACAAAUUAUAGUUCAUAAACAACACAUCAAAAUACCGUAAAGCUGCGAAAACAAAAAUUCACCAACAAAAAAAUAGUACCAACAAUAGUAAAACUAUGAGAUGCAUAAUAAGAAAAGAAGCAUUUCAGACUAGAAAAUCACAACAGGUAAUCGAUCGAUCCACUAGUUAGAUCAUCAAUAGCUCCGAUUUAGAGACCACAUCUUAUUAUACAUAUAAGUUAUAUAUUCCAAUUAAGUAUUUGGCAUUCACAUUAUGGAGCAACAUUCUGGAUUCGGGCCUGUAUUUUCGUAAACUUGGUAUUGAGGUAUGCCACGGUAAAUAUUGAGUUGCGGUGGCUGAUGAUCAGCCAUCGCAGAAAAAGCAUGGGGCCUUUCGUUGUUGUUGUUACUGAAUGUAGCAGCAGCAACAGGCCCAACGCUCACCAAUUGGGCCUGACCCAAUUUCUUCUUGAGGCAGUUGGUAAGAAUUACUGCGUCAAUAUAGUCUCCCACCACUUCUAAUUUGUAAUUUUCAAGUCCACCUCCCUGCAUAACUGCUGAUAUCACCCCUAAGUAAAAAUCCACCAAUUAUUAUAAGCGGUACUAAAGAUUAAGCCGAAGAAGAAUUAUAACUAGAAUUCUUCGCUCAGGCCCUUUGGUAGGCCCUUUGUACCAAGAAGUAAGUUCAGAAUAUAGGAUAAUGGACUCGUCCAUUAUAAGUUAUUAGUUUAUGGAGCUAUCUCCCAUAAGGAAACGGGACAAGUGUUAAAUAAGCGAGUUAAAUUGAAUUUGAAUAAGUACUUUAAUUAUGUUUAUUAAAAAUUUUAGCUUCGUCACCGACUGUUGCCAAUCUAUCCAACCUAACUAAGUUUAUAUUUUUUUUUUGCUUACUUGCUUAUAAUUUUUAUAGUUACCAAACAAAAUUAUAAAACUUCAUUUUCUUUAAUAUAACUCUAUCUAACAUAUCAAAUAAUUUAUGUAAAGAAAUAUUUUGCCAAAUUUUAUUAUGGGAGACGAAGAAGUAGGUACCUGGUUGAGAAACAGCUAUCUUGAAGGCUUUGGUCCUAGAUUUCUGAUCAUUCCCAUUUAUGUAUAGUUUGAUAACUACUUUUUGCUGUCCAAUUUAUGAAUUUAUGUCAGCAAUUACAACUCAACCAAUACCACAAAUAUAUUUAUUGUAUAAAUAAAUAUAACAAGUAUAUAUAUAUAUAUAUAUAUAUAUAUAUAUAAAACACGUUAGAUUAAGAUUAUAAUUUUAAAAAAAAAAAAGACAUGCAUACUCUCAUUUUUACUAAUAUUCUUGAUGGUUUGCAAUAUAAUAAUUUAAUAGGGAAAUAGUGGAGAAUGAGUGUCCUAUAUUUAUAGUUGGCCUUAAAAGCACGGAAAAAACACGUAAAGAUUUUAAUAGAGAAAUAAUGAAAAUGGUCCCUAAUGUUUGAGUAGGUUCAAAGUAGUCUCUUAAAAUUAUACUUUUAAGUAAUUUUGAGUCUUCUAAUUUUUUUUUUCAAAAUUGGCACGUUUAGUUUCCUUAUAUUAUAACAAGAAGCUUCGCCAAUUAUAUUCGAGCGGAGUUGUGAAAAAAGAGAUGUAAAUCUUAAUAAAAACAAUGACACUAAAAACAUUUCAUAUGUGAUUUUCGAUCAGGGCUAAGCCAGAGUGUUGAUUACAGGUUCAAUCGAACUCAGUAACUUUGGUUCAAAUUUUAAAUUUGUAGAAAGAAAUUCAUUAAAUAUGUACAAAUUAUUAGUUUAUAACUCAAUAACUUAACAAUAUUAAAACUUUGAAGUCAUAAACUUCAAAUUUAAACUGUCUCUCUCUGUUUUCAACUAAAUAUUUUUGUUUUCCACUAUUCCCACGAUCAAAUUUUGUAUGUUAGAUAUUUGAUCGAGAUAAAAAAAUUGUUCGAUUUUGAAAAAUUAAACUGACCAAAUAUAUUUAGGAAACUAUUUGAACAUUACCACAAAAUUACGAGACUGAUUUUGUUAUGUCAUGGAUAUGACAUAAUCAUUAAUUUUGAUGUAAAGGCCGGACCAAUGAUGUUUUUCCAUGAAACUAGAUAAGUAAUUAUCCUUUAAUUUAUGUUUGAUAAAUAAACUUUAUUGGUUGUUUUAAUAAUUUUUUGUCAAUUUUCCCUUUUUCCUUUUGAAUUUAUAGAAAAUUAAUUAGACAUCUUCCAUACAAUCCCCAUAAAAUAAAAGUCAUGGCAGUAAGUGAGAAUUAAAGAAUUAAUUUAGCCGCAAUACUGGAAAAAUACUUUGUAGACACGGCCAAAUGAAAUUGCUCGCUAAAUUACAAUAAGCUUCUUUCUGAUUUCCUCGCCGUAGUUUUCAUGUUUCACUUAUCGAGAAUCAGAAUAAUUUCUUGAGCUAAUUAAAUUAGAUUAAUUCAUUUUUUACUAUAUCAAUUUGGAUAUUUAAAAAUUAUACGAGAAAUACUAUGAAAAUAUAAGUUGCAAAAAUUGAUGAAACUAUAUAUAUUAAAAUGUUUGUUGAAUUUCAUGUAGUUUGGCACUCAAAAACUAAUAAAUGACCAGUAUUUUAGGAUGGAGAGAGUAUGCACUACUACAAUGAUCAAUAGCUUCCAAUUUCUUAUUCCCAAAAAUUACAAACAUUUUUUUUUUCUGAAUAAUGAAUAGUACUCGAGGGCUGCACUGAAGUGCACUUUUCAGUUUAUUUACUUUUUCCUUGUCUAUUAUUUUAAAAAUAAUUUUUUAUUUCUACUGAUUAUUUAUAAUAUAUCAAGAAAAGAUAUAUUAUUUUUGUUUUACUGUUUGCAUAAUUACUUAUUUUUUCAAUUAUUUUAAAACUUUAUACUAAACAUCAAAAGUAUUAAAUCAUAAUUAAUUAAACUUAUUCUAAUAUUUAAAUAUAUAUAUAUAUAUAUAUAUGUCCAUUUCCAUUAUCCAUUACAUAUAUAUAAGUGACAAUAACCAGCCGGUCAUGGUCGACAUGCCUGCCUGACAGCUGCACUAUUUUCUCUUUUUUGGUGGUUCUGUCGUUUUAAUUUGUUUGUCUUGUUUUUUAAUUUUUUAAAUGUUUAAAAAAAAAUAUUAUAAAUCAUAAUAAUUGAAUACUAUAAAAAAAUCGAUUGAUUCAUAAAAUUAAUCUAUCUGUGUCACUUAAAAUGGGAUAAAAGAAGGAACAUGUAUUAUUUAAUUUGAAAACUUCGUAGAAAGUAUUGUAAAUCUCAAUAAUUAAUAACAAUUGAUUGACUUUUGAAAUUCUAUUUGUGCUACUAGAUACAUUGGAUAAAAGAAGUAACAUAUAUUAUUAAAAAUUUACGUAAAAAGUACUAUAAAUUACAAUAAUCAAAAGAAGUAACAUAUAAUAUUUAAUUUGGAAACUGUUUAGAAAAUAUUAUAAAUAUCAGUAAUUAACAACAUUUGAUUGACUCUUAAAAUUCUAUAUGUGUUACAUACAUUGAGACAGGAGAAGUAAUAUAUAUUAUUUAAAAAUUAUGUAAAAAUAUAAUAAAUUACAAUAAUUAACAACUUAAAAUAUUUAAAAAUUAUAUUAAAAUUUAAUUGACUAUCUAAAUUCUAUCUAUGUCACAUAAAGUGAGACAAAAAAAUAACAUAUACUUAGAUCUGUGCUAGCACGGACACUGAUAUCUAGUAAUAAUUAUAAAAAGGCAUUUAGUAGUGUUGCUUUUGUUGUUGUUUCUUCUUCUUUCUUUUUGGUAUAGACCAAGUCAAUAAACGACUAGUUAAUUCAAUAAAUUACCUGUACUUGGAUCUUCGAAAUUAUUAGAGGAUGUAGCUUUCAAUGACUAUUCCCGGUGUUAGAAGGAUGGAGGCAAGUUGAUGGUAAUUUCUGAAGAAUUUAACAAAAUAACAAGUAGUGGCAAUUUGGAUAUAUAAAUAAAGUAAAAAUUACACAAAAUUCAUAGUGUUAAGAGUUACUAACAUUUUGUUCCUAUUUUUUUCCGAAUUACCAAAAUCUUUUAAAAUUUAAAGAUUUCAGAUAUAUUACUCAACGUUCCGAUACAUCGCGUUUCGAUACAUUACCUUUGAUACAAGAUACACAUGUCCCCACACAUUAUCUUUGUUGAUACAAGAAACACUUAUCUCGAUACAUCGCAACCCGAUACAUCACGUAAGAGUGAUGUAUCCGAGAAUAGGAGAGAGAGUGAGAAAAAUAGAAAUUUUUAUAAUUUUUCAAAUAAUAGGAAAUUUUUAAAAAUAUGAUAAAAUAAAUUGGAUAUUUAAUUCAUUUUUCCAUUAAUGAAUAUAUAUAAUCCUUCCGACUUAGACAACUUUUCCUUAAGUUUUGAAGAGAAGUCAUUUUCCUUAAAUUUGAGGAAAAUAAGUUGAUUUGGAAAAUAUUUUCCAAAACAUUUAACCCAACCAAAUAUGAAAAAAUUGAAAAAUAUUUUCCAAAAAACAUGAAAAUGUUUUCCUUCAUACCAAACACACACUAAAUUGUCUUUAUUUGCAAAGGUUCCAUAGUUAGUGGGCUUUGCUACUCGAAGAGGAUAAAUAAAGAGUCAUUCGCACUUUUGGCACUAUUUCAGUAUUUUUAUGCUACUUGUUUAACUUGAGUCGAGGGUCUGUCAAAAACAAUAUAUAUUUACCUAUCUUGUAAAGGAUUAAGGAUACCUAUGUACUAUUCUUAUAGACUCACUUGUAAAAUUACACUAAGAGGAUAUUUGGAUUGGCUUAAAAGUUGGUCAAACCUACUUUUAAGUUAAUUUUUGACUUAGAAGUGUUUGACAAAUAUAAAAAAGGGAAAACUACAUAAAUCCCACUAGUUUAGGUUCUAAUUAUUAAUAUUCCCAAUAGUUUCAAAUAUUACUUCAUAUACCAUAUUUCGUACUUAGGAUACAUGAGUCUGAAUCCGCGAGAUACAUGUAUUUGUUGAAUUUAAAAUAAAGAUACAUAUUUUAUUUAUUUAAAUUAAUUGGUUGUAACUAAUUUCCUUAAUUAGAGGAAUAGUUGAGGAUUUUCAGAAUAUAUGGACAAUUAAUUAUAAAAAUUUAAAUUAAUCAAAUCUCUUAAUAUAAGGCAAAAAUCAAGGAGUGUAUCUAUGUUUAAUUAAUUUAAUUUUUAUUUAGUCUUUUGAAAUUAAUAAAUUCUUUAAUAUUAUUAAUAAAGACAAAAACAUGUAUAUCUUGGUCAUGUAUUUUGAUCAAUUUCAUUUUAUUACUCUUUGAAUAAUAAAUUCAUUAAUUUGAUGUAUUUAUUAUCAAUAUAUAAUGUAUCCAACAAACUAAGCACUUAGAUACAUGAGUAUCAUACAAGUGCAUUCAUAUGUAUCAUAGAAGUAUCUAGUAUUAAUUUCAUGUAUUUGUUAUACGUAUCUAGUAUUAAUCUCAUGUAUCUAUUUAUAUGAUCUAAUAUUUAUUUCAUGCAUCUUUUAUAUGUAUAUUGUGAUGUAUCAAGUAUCAAUUCCAUACGUUAUAUCCAAUAAACAUGUAUCUCAGAUACAUAGUAAGUAUAUACAUCUAACUAUGUGUAUCUAAAUAUGGAUGUAACUGAAACACAUAAAUUUAGGAACAAAUCAUAACUGUAGAGUAUUUGUUGUAUCAUUAAUAAAAAAAAAGUAAAAAUCAAAUUUCUUCCUUUUUUUAGGAUCUGAUUUUUUUUCUCAUAGAUACUGGCAAUCUAACUCAGAUACAUUAACUCUUAACUAGAUACAUGCACAUCUAGUACCCUUUGUAUCUCUUUCCUCUUCUACAGAUGCCAACGCCACCUCCAUUGCACGUUUCCUUGCCAUCAUGAAAUCGUCAUCUCCAACAAAAACUUCAGCAAACUAGCAGGAAAUCGGUCAUUCCUCAUUGCGCUCUUCUCCUAGAUACACUGAGGAAUUGAAACUUGAUGAUGUUGAACAUAUUGUUAUACUGUCCUUGAAUGAGAGGUAGAUAUCUUAACCUUUUUCAUAUAAGUAUUAUUAUUGUUGUAUUCACGAAUUUCUUCCCUUGGUUUAGCGUGUUUUAUUACGUCCCUUGAAGAAGGAUGUAAUUCCAAUCCCCUCAAUUUUGAUUCGGCGGUUAGCAUCGUGAUCAUUACCUUAUUUGUCAUCUCAAAAGUGAAGGAUACACAAAAAUUGUCAUGCACUUGAACCUCCUGUCCAUUAUAAGUGGGAUCAAUACUCGCUCAUUGCAUUGCACCAGAAUGUUGUGACCUUUAAUGAUAAUCAUUACCUUAUGUAUCCAUUCAGAUUUCUGGAGAAAACAUCGAUGGAGAUUGGUAGAAGGGGACAAUUGUGAAAAUAAGAAGACUGUAGAAAAUUCUUUGAAUUUGAUUGAUGAAAAUUCUGUACAAUUACACUAUAUUUAUACGAGUAUAUUGCUAACUAACUGCACAACUGGCUAUCUCUAAUUGGUCUACCUAUAACAAAUUAAGGGAUGUGACUCUAUCUAAUUGUAUCUUUUAAAAUAUAUGGUAUAAAAUAUUAAAAGUGGUAAUAUAUGUAAUUGUUUGGAAGUAGAGGUAAUAUUAGUAUAUAUACUAAGGAUGUAUGUCUAGUUAAGUAGUUUCAAUAAGUUAGAAAGUGUGUGACAAGGUUUAAAAUGACGGUUUAAAAUGACUUAAAAUAAGUUAAAAACCAAAAGUAGAUAUACCCCUACUUUUUAUUUUUGACUUAAAAGUUAUUUCAAUUUGACUUUUUAUUUUUGACUUAAAAGCUAUUUUUUUUAAGCCAAUCCAAACGGACUCUAAAUAUAUUGUUAUUGUUAUUGAAGUUACAUUUAAACAUACAUUUUACUUGGAAACAUUUUGAAAUGUUGUGGGUGGAAGAUAACUUUCACUCAGAUCAGUUUUGGAACUUGAUUUUUUUUCUCCAUAAACUAAUCACAUUUCAUAAACAAAGAAAAAA